AGCAAUAUUUUCUAUCAGAAUUUGUAUCAAAUGUAAUGAACAAACAAAUAGAUUGGUGUCAGAUUUCAAACAUAUUUGAAGUUACUCUGUUUGUUUCUCCGGUAACAAACAAGCAAGGCAGUUUAUACAAUACAUCCAUUCAUACGGUUACAACCAUAAGCUAAGUGCAUCACUCACUGAUACAUAUAUACAUAAAUAUAGGUGCACAUAUGCACAGAUAAAGUACAUCACACACUGUAUAUCUCACCGUCGUCUUCCUCCGAUACCACAGUCAAUUCCUCCUCCGAGACCGCUGUCAGCUCCGAAGUGAAAUGGUAAGAGUCCUCUACGUGGAUGUGCCCUUCAUCGCAGAAAAAUGGCCUCGAAGGCAUCUGUAGGCCAUCAACUCCAGCCUCCAGGAUCUCAAUGACCUCGCUCAUCGUCGGCCGAUCACGAGACCUCAUCUGAAUACACCAUAAUGCAACAACGCACAGCUUCUUCUCCAGCUCGUGCAUGUUGGCAGCAACUGGAGAUAUCUCGCCCGCUUCUUCUUGAGUCAGCCGGUCAUACACCCAUGAGGGGUAGUAUGCCUGGCUUGAGGACCCCAUGUUUGGAUCAGCGUUCCUUCUCCCGCCGGCCAUCUCCAGGAGCAACAUCCCGAAGCUGUACACGUCGGACUUGCUGGAUAUGACGCCGAAGCUCCGGGAUAUCAUCUUGGGGGCUAUGUAGCCGAUGGUUCCCCGCAUGGCACUUAGUGGCACGAAACUGUCACUCCUCGGAUACAGCUUGGCGAGCCCGAAAUCGGCGACCUUUGGGAUGAAAUUGCUGUCGAGAAGGAUGUUGUGCGGCUUGAUGUCAAAGUGCAGAAUCUGCAUGUCACAACCCUGAUGUAAGUAGUUGAUCCCCCUUGCAAUGCCCAGAGCCAUCUCGUUGAGCUUGUCCCAUACACUAACAAACAAAGAACUCGCAACCAACACGACAAAGGGUUGUCAAUCCCUUCACGACCACUUGCGAAAGUGAGAUCUGAUAGAGAUAAUAUGAUAAGAUAAAUAUAUUUUUGGUAUUUUAUAAUAUAGAUGCAGAAAAUAAAGAUGCAAAUAAAAGUAGAUUGGAAGCAAAUAUGAUAAAAGAUAGACCCGGGGGCCAUAGGUUUCAAUAGUGGCUUCUGUCAAGAGCAAAAGUAUUACGGUGGGUGAACAAAUUACUGUCGAGCAAUUGAUAGAAAAGCAAAUAAUUAUGACGUUAUCUAGGCAUGAUCAUGUAUAUAGGUGUCACGUCCGCAACAAGUAGACCGACUCCUACCUGCAUCUACUACUAUUACUCCACACAUCGACCUCUAUCCAGCAUGCAUCUAGAGUAUUAAGUUCAUAAGACAGAGUAACGCAUUAAGCAAGAUGACAUGAUGUAGAGGGAUAAACUCAAGCAAUAUGAUAUAAACCCCAUUUUUUUAUCCUCGAUGGCAACAAUACAAUACGUGUCUUGCAACCCUUUCUAUCACUGGGUAAGAACACCGCAAGAUUGAACACAAAGCUAAGCACUUCUCCCAUGACAAGAAAGAUCAAUCUAGUAGGCCAUACCAAACCGAUAAUUCAAAGAGACUCGCAAAGAUAACUCAAUCACGUAAAAGAAUUCAGAGAAGAUUCAGUUAUUAUCCAUAGAUAAAUCUGAUCAUAAACCCACAAUUCAUCGGAUCUCGACAAACACACCGCAAAGAGAGAUUACAUCGAAUAGCUCUCCACAAGAGAGGGGGAGAACAUCGUAUUGAGAUCCAAAAAGAGAGAAGAAGCCAACUAGCUAAUAACUAUGGACCCGAAGGUCUGUGGUAAACUACUCACAACUCAUCAGAAGGGCUAUGGUGUUGAUGUAGAAGCCCUCCAUGGUGGAUUCCCCCUCCGGCAGAACGCCGACGACGGCUCCAAGAUGGGAUCUCGCGGGUACACAAGGUUACGGUGGUGGAAAUUGUGUUUCGGUUGCUCCCCGGAUGUUUUCGGGGUACGUAGGCUUAUAUAGGAGGAAGAAGUACGUCGGUGGAUGCCCGAGGGGCCCACGAGACAGGGGGCGCGCCCUAUAGGGUGGGCGCCACUACUAGGAAAAGGGCUAUAGAUGGGAUGGACACUAAUGGCGCACCUGUCAGGUGGUGCGCCACCACUAUAUACUAAUGGCGCACCAUUUUGUGAUGCGCCAUUAGUGUGGAAGACACUAAUGGUGCACCAGACGCACGGUGCGCCACUAGUAAUAUUUUUUUUCCAUUUUUCCAUACAUACUAAUGGCGCAUCCGGGCAAAGUGCGACAUUACUAGUUCUAACUAGUAAUGGCGCACCAGACAGAGAGUGCGCCAGUACUGUAUUCUUUUUUUUAUUCCUUUUUUUUGCAAAACUACUAAUGGCACUUGAUCUCGAUCCCCCUCCAUCUCGAUCAUGAUUCCCCUCCAUCUCGAUCUUGAUCCCCCUCCAUCUGGAUCCCACCCGCACCCUCCCCUGCUAGCUCCACCGCCUCGACGACCCACCGCAACCCUCCCCCGCUCCACCGCCGCCGACGAGCACCCGGCCCCCCGCACCCUCCCCCGCUCCACCGUCGCCGCCGGCGAUGAUAUUUUCAAGUAACAAAUUUGAAAAUANNNNNNNNNNNNNNNNNNNNNNNNNNNNNNNNNNNNNNNNNNNNNNNNNNNNNNNNNNNNNNNNNNNNNNNNNNNNNNNNNNNNNNNNNNNNNNNNNNNNNNNNNNNNNNNNNNNNNNNNNNNNNNNNNNNNNNNNNNNNNNNNNNNNNNNNNNNNNNNNNNNNNNNNNNNNNNNNNNNNNNNNNNNNNNNNNNNNNNNNNNNNNNNNNNNNNNNNNNNNNNNNNNNNNNNNNNNNNNNNNNNNNNNNNNNNNNNNNNNNNNNNNGCCGAUGAUAUUUUCAAGUAACAAAUUUGAACAUAUUUUUAAAAAAAGUAUUACUGUUUUUAUAAAAAAAUAUUACUGUUAUGAUUUAAACAAGUUUGAACAUAUUUAAACACAAAUAAAUAUCAAACAGCAUUUAAAAUGCAUAAAAAUAUAUUGGGGAGCUUAGGAAUAGAACCCAGGAGCUCCUGGUGUGUGUGCUGCAUGCUGACCAGUCGGGCUAGUGGGUGGGUUCUGGUGUGGAUUGGGUUAGGUGGAAUAUAACCUGAGUGCUCGAACUAUAAUAAAAAAACAUUCUAAUGGCGCACCUCUCCGGGGUGCGCCAUUAGUAAGCUUCCCCCCCUACUCCACCUAUUCCCCUCCCUCCCUUCCUCCCCACUCGACCUAAUACGCCGCCGCCGCGCCUGCACGCCCCCUCCGUCCCCUGCCGCCGCCGCCCCAACCCCUGCCGGACUCCACCCCCGCCGCCCCCGCGCCCCCGCGCCCCCCACCACUACAGCUCCCCCGCGCUGCCGCCCCCGCGCCCCCACGCCCCCACCACUUCAGCUCCCCCGCGCCGUCGCCCCCNNNNNNNNNNNNNNNNNNNNNNNNNNNNNNNNNNNNNNNNNNNNNNNNNNNNNNNNNNNNNNNNNNNNNNNNNNNNNNNNNNNNNNNNNNNNNNNNNNNNNNNNNNNNNNNNNNNNNNNNNNNNNNNNNNNNNNNNNNNNNNNNNNNNNNNNNNNNNNNNNNNNNNNNNNNNNNNNNNNNNNNNNNNNNNNNNNNNNNNNNNNNNNNNNNNNNNNNNNNNNNNNNNNNNNNNNNNNNGUCGCCCCCACGCCCCCGCGCCCCGAGCCGGCCCCGAGGUGUAGCUCUGCUGCGGCGUGGUCUUGUGCCGGCCCCGAGCCCUAGGGAUCCGGCACGACCGCGGCUUCCUCUGGGUCCAAGGCGACCGACCGGCGCCAUGUACGCCCUUGACUGCAGGUGAGCCCCUCCCCUCCACUUCCUUCUUCUUCUGCUUCCUCUUGAAUUUCUCCAUCUCCGGCGAGCUCACCACACCGCGCGAGCUCAACGACCGCUGUGCAGGGCACCACCACGCAGGUGACCCUCUGAAUGUCAAAAUUUCAACAUUUUGAUGGAGUACAAUUGUUACAGUACAGUCAGAAUUGUGUAUGAUUGUGCCUAAAGUAGAUAAUAGUGGACUUUAGGCUUUUUUAGAGGCAAUACUAGUGAAUUUCAGUUAACUCCUUACAGUUCAGAUCAUAUUUUGAUUGUCAAUAAUAGUGGACUUUUAAGGCUUUUUUAGAGGCAAUACUAGUGGAUUUUAGCCUUUUUUACAGAAAAAUAGAGGCAAGACUGUUACAGAAAAAUUCAGUUAGGUACAGUUGCAGAAAAAUUCAGUUAGGCUUUUUCAGAGGCAAUACUAGUGGAUUUUUAGAGGCAAAAUUCAGUUAGGGUUCAAACAAAUUUAGUUAGCUACUGUCAAAAAAUUCAGUUAGGGUUCAGACAAAUUCAGUUAGAUGAUAUUCAAACCUUGCUUGUUGAAUAGUCUGAAUUUUUAACAAUUAACAAAUUACUAACUGUCCACAAAUACAGUUAGCUACUGUCAAAAAAUUCAGUUAGGUACAGUUAGCAUCAUGUAAGAAAAUGACCAUAAUGUGCCCUGAUAAUGAUGUAUUUUGUCAUAAAAAUAUCAUAUUUGUGACGGUUAGCAUCACUUAGGUACAGUUAGCAUCAGUUAGGUACGGUUAGGUAUAGUUAGCAUCAGUUAGUUGUCAUAAAAAAAUUCAGUUAGGUACAGUUAGCAUCAGUUAGGUACAGUUAGCUACUGUCAGGCUUGUUAGAUUAAUUUUCAGUUUACUUGACUUUCAUGUAUGCUAUCCCCAUUGAUUUUGGGGGCUUUAUUGCUUUGCUUGGAUUUUGAUUUUGAUUUCUACUAUUGGAUUGGGUUGAGGACAAGUUUUGUAGGUCUGGACCUUCAAAUUCCAUUCCUAGGUAGGGUAGCAACAACCAGUAGCUUAAUUACUUAGUUUUGACUACCUGUCUGUCAAUCUCUAGGCCUGUAGCUGUAGCCUCUAGAAUUCAAUUUAGAUAAGCACCUAUCUAUCAUAUUUUUCAUUUCAUUCUCACUUCGUUUCACCUACAUAUAUAUGUUAUAUAUCCUCCCUCUCCACAAACAAACAUAGAUAGACCAUUUCUUACUCUAGAUAGGUAUGUACCCAAUUCCUACACUAGAUACAUAGAUAGGCAGCAGCAGCUUAACUGCUCCCAAAUCCUCCUCCUUCAAGGACCACUUCUGCCAUUUCUUUGCUCCAUAUAAAUUGCAGACAAACAAGUUAAUGUGCUCAUAUAUUCACAUUACAGUCAGUCAAACAAAUUAAUGUGCUUAAUUUAUCUCAUGUUGAUCUCAUGAGUUAGGUACAGUUUGCCGGAACGGAAGUUAACCUGGGCCUAGUUAAGUAUAGGCUUGGGCUUGUGGUUGAAUGCUACCGUUUUCCUAGCCAUGUAUUUUCAGAAUUGAGCUAAAGACUUGGGGGUAGUAUUUCUGAUUUUAGAGCACCUUUGUUGGAUGUAUUUUACAGCAGCUGUUGGAAUCAAAACAAUGCUUGUGGGUUGUCCUGUUAAGUUGAGUGAGUCGCUAGAGGGCAGAUAGUCACCCACACCAAUUAAUGUUUAUGAAGAAGAAGAAUAAACCUGCUGUUGCUGCUGUUAUGCCUGUAUUCACUGUUGCUGCUGCUGUACUUGUGAUCUUGUUGUACUUGUGAUGAUGCUACUUGUGAUCUUCUGAAAUGACCCAUUGGUGACUUCAUUACGCGGCGACAAUGAUUUUGCAGGUACCCCGAGAGGCCCUUGAGUUUGCUGGAAUGUCGAUUAACUUCCAUUCCAGCAAAUUCGGGUACUCCAUAUGUACUAUUUUCAGCAAAGGUCAUGCUGAAAUUUUCCGUGAAUUUUAGCAUGACUUUGCUAAAAAUAGGGCAUAUGGGGUACUUGCGACUAAUGCCUGUUAUCAUGCAUGUUUUAUGAUCUGUUGUAAGGGUACUAAUUGGUCUCUUCUGCUGCUUAUCAGAGAUGGCGGGAAGCAGCCACCGCCGCUCUGCGACACCGCAGUACGAGUUGGAUGCUUCCGAGUUCUUCAGUAUCAUACUUGGGACUUCAGUAUCAUCCAUGACGCAGGUAUAUAAAACGAGAGAUCUCCCCUUCACCCAUCUCAUUAUGAUAUCUGUUGUUUGCUACAUCACUCAUUGUCCCAAACUGCAGAGGCUGCCUGACAGUUUUAUGAACAUGCUGGGUGAAGAUCCGCCAAAUAAUGUGAAGCCGCGACAGGCCGGCAGUGGGUUUCGCAGGCAGUGGGAUGUGGAGUUGGUGAUCAAGGAGGGCCACAUGUACUUGUCUCGUGGGUGGGAGAAGUUCUACCGUGCCUACGACCUGCGGCUGGGGUUCUUCCUUCUCUUCAGGUACGACGACGACGCCACCAUGCUCAUCGUGAAGGUGUUCAACGCGACUAUGUGUCGCAUGCGCUACGCUGACGAUGAUGAUGCCGGUACGUUCUGCCUCUUCUUAUUCCUCUACAUUUGGCUUUGUCUCACAUCGAUUGUUAACGGUUAUUGUUGCAUUUGGACAGGUAAUGGAAGCAGCAGCAGCGACACUGGCUACAGCCAAAGCAGCAGCGACUAUGGUUGUAGCAAAAGCAACACCGAUUCUGGCUUUAGCGAAAGCAGCAGCGAUUCUGGCAACAACAUAGACAGCAAGAAGGAUGAUCCGGACUGGAGUGCGGGAGAAGAGGAGCAGAGUGGGGAUGAGGAGCUGCAGGAUGACGAUGGGCAUCAGGCUGAGGAUGACCUAGCCCUGGUGGUGGCUGACCAAGGGCAAGAGAUGGUGGUGGCUGACCGUGGGCAAGAGAUGGAGGUGGCUGAGGAUGACCUAGCGAUGGUCGUGCCCAUCCUGCCUGAAGGUGGCCUUGCGAUGGUGGUGGUGCCUGACAAUGACCACGCACCGGUGGUGGCGCCGGAGAUCCCACAGCUAGGCGACAUGACCACGCCAAUUGUGGUAGAAGACUACAUCCCACUGCCUCCACAGCCUCCACCGCCUCGCCGCUCUUGGCGCAUCAGGCUGAGGAAGGAGAAGGAGAAGAACAAUGCAUGAGAACUGAACUUUGUCAGGUAUGUCAGAUCUCCAAAAUGAUAUAUAUAUACUUAGUUACCUAUGUUAUCUCUAAUAUGCUUAGUUUCCUAUAGGUUAGCUUCAUUUUACCUAAGUUGUCUCUAAUAUGCUAACUUAGAGCUUAUAUGCUUAGUUUCCUAUAGGUUAGCUCCAAAAUAACUUAUGUUAGCACAAAAUGAUCAAGUUUACAUAAUAAGUUUAUAGUCUUUUUCUUAUUCUUCUUCUUUUCCAAAAUGACAUAGGUUAGCUUCAUUUUACCUAAGUUGGCUCUAAUAUACUAACUUAGAGCCUAUAUGCUUAGUUUCCUAUAGGUUAGCUCCAAAAUAACUUAUGUUAGCACAAAAUGAUCAAGUUUACAUAAUAAGCUUAUAGUCUUCUUAUUAUUCUUCUUCUUUUCCAAAAUUCUUCUUAUUCUUCUUCUAGCUAGUGUUCUUCUUCUUCUAGUAUUCUUCUAGCUAGUCUUCUUCUUCUUCUUCUUCUUCUUCUAACUUCUUGUUUAUCAUUUUGCAGAUUUGAUUUAAUUCACGGAAGCUUGCAUGGAUGGAGUGCUUCUUUUCCAUUUGUGUUUUUAUUUUGUAUCAAUGUGAAACUUUUGUGAAUCGAUGGAUAACGGUGUUGGAUGAACAAUGUGAAACUUUUGUAAUAUGUAACGAUGGAACUAUGUGUUGGCUAUGUAUGUAUAUAUGAUGGAACUUGUGUGUUAGAUAUGAUUGUUAUAUGGAUGCUUGUUGUAUAUAUUUGUUGGAUAUCUCAUAUGUGAAAUAGUGACCUGAGUUUAAGAAAAAAAAUUAAAAAAAUUGUUACUAAUGGCGCACUACCAUGUGGUGCGUCAUUAGUAUAGUAGACACUAGUGGCGCACUGUGGGCAAAACUAAUAGUGCACUGCGUGGUGCGCCAUUAGUAUACCAGAUACUAAUGGCGCACCAGUGGUGCGCCAUUAGUAAAAAUACUAGUGGCGUGAUAGUAAUGGCGCACCGGUAGUGCGCCAUUAGUAGGCAAAACCGGUGCGCCAUUAGUAGGCCUUUUCCUAGUAGUGCGCCCUACCCUCUCGUGGAAGCUACGGCUGCUUCUUGACUUGCACUCCAAGUCCUCUGGAUCACGUUCGUUCCAAAAAUCACGCUCCCAAAGGUUUCAUUCCGUUUGGACUCCAUUUGAUAUUCCUUUUCUUCGAAAUACUGAAAUAGGAAAAAAAACAGCAAUACGGGCUGGGCCUCCGGUUAGUAGGUUAGUCCCAAAAAUGAUAUAAAUGUGUAAAAUAAAGCCCAUAAACAUCCAAAACAGGUAAUAUAAUAGCAUGGAACAAUCAAAAAUUAUAGAUACGUUGGAGACGUAUCAGGGGAGUAUAAACAUUACCAUUCUGUUUGGGAACCGCCUAUAAUGUGUGUAGCAUGGAAGAUAUCGAGAUCUCAUAGUUGUUAUGUUGACAGUGAAAGUAUACCGCUCAAAAUUUUAUUUAUCUCUCUAUUUCAAAAUCGAGCUCUCGCACCUCUACAAAUCCUUGCUUCCCUCUGCGAAGGGCCUAUCUAUUCACUUUUAUGUUGAGUCAUCACCCUCUUAUUAAAAAGCACCCGCUGAAGAGCACACUGUCAUUUGCAUGCAUUACUAUUAGUUUAUAUUGAGUAUGACUUGACUGGAUCUCUUUUACCAUGAAUUACAAUGUUUAGUCAGUCCUUGGUCUUUAAAGGUGCUCUGCAUUUAUGUUUUGUGGUCUCAGAAAGGGCUAGCGAGAUACCAUCUUGUUAUAUCAUAUUAUGAUUGUUUUGAGAAAGUGUUGUCAUUCGAGUUUUAUUAUUAUUGCUCGCUAGCUGAUUAUGCCAUUGAUAUGAUUAAAUGUGAGACCUAAGUGUUAUUAUGAAUAUGGUUAGUUCAUAAUCUUUGCUAAAAACUUGAAUGCUGGCUUUACAUAUUUACAACAACAAGAGGAAAUAGAGUUUGUAAAAGUUUUUCUUUAUCACUUUCAGUUUAUCAACUGAAUUGCUUGAGGACAAGCAAAGGUUUAAGCUUGGGGGAGUUGAUACGUCUCCAACGUAUCUACUUUUCCAAACACUUUUGCCCUUGUUUUGGACUCUAACUUGCAUGAUUUGAAUGAAACUAACCCGGACUGACGCUCUUUUCAGCAGAACUGCCAUGAUGUUAUUUUUGUGCAGAAAUAAAAGUUCUCGGAGUGACCUGCAAAUCCACGGAGAUAACUUUUGGAAAAUAUAAAAAAUACUGGUGAAAGAAUCAAGGCCAGGGGGCCCACACCCUGUCCACGAGGGUGGGAGCGCGCCCCCUUCCCCUGGGCGCGCUGAUACAUCUCCAAUGUAUCUAUAAUUUUUGAUUGUUCCAUGCUAUUAUAUUACCCCUUUUGGAUGUUUAUGGGCUUUAUUUUACACAUUUAUAUCAUUUUUGGGACUAACCUACUAACCGGAGGCCCAGUCCGUAUUGCUGUUUUUUUGCCUAUUUCAGUAUUUCGAAGAAAAGGAAUAUCAAACGGAGUCCAAACGGAAUGAAAACUUCGGGAGCGUGAUUUUUGGAACGAACGUGAUCCGGAGAGCUUGGAGUGCAAGUCAAGAAGCUGCCGAGGAAGCCACGAGAUAGGAGGCCGUCCCCCCCCCUGUAGGGCGCGCCCCCUGUCUUGUGGGCCCCUCGGGAGGCCACCGACGUACUUCUUCCUCCUAUAUAUACCUAUGUAUCCCGAAAACAUCCAGGAGCACCACGAAACACAAUUUCCACCGUCGUAACCUUCUGUAUCCGCGAGAUCCCAUCUUGGAGCCUUCGCCGGCACUCUGCUGGAGUGGGAAUCGACCACGGAGGGCUUCUAGAUCAACAUCCUUGCCCCUCCGAUGAGUUGUGAGUAGUUUACCACAGACCUACGGGUCCAUAGUUAUUAGCUAGAUGGCUUCUUCUCUCUUUUUGGAUCUCAAUACAAUGUUCUCCCCCUCUCUUGUGGAGAUCUAUUCGAUGUAAUCUCUUUUUGCGGUGUGUUUGUCUAGAUCCGAUGAAUUGUGGAUUUAUGAUCAGAUUUAUCUGUGGAUAAUAAUUGAAUCUUCCCUGAAUUCUUUUAUGUAUGAUUGAGUUAUCUUUGCAAGUCUCUUCGAAUUAUCAGUUUGGUUUGGCAUACUAGAUUGAUCUUUCUUGCCAUGGGAGAAGUGAUUAGCUUUGGGUUCAAUCUUGCGGUGUUCUUACCCAAUGACAGAAAGGGUUGCAAGACACGUAUUGCAUUGUUGCCAUCGAGGAUAACAAGAUGGGGUUUAUAUCAUAUUGCAUGAGUUUAUCCCUCUACAUCAUGUCAUCUUGCUUAAUGCGUUACUCUGUUCUUAUGAACUUAAUAAUCUAGAUGCAGGCAGGAGUCGGUCGAUGUGUGGAGCAAUAGUAGUAGAUGCAGGCAGGAGUCGGUCUACUUGUCAUGGACGUGAUGCCUAUAUACAUGAUCAUGCCUUGAUAAUCUCAUAACUAUGCGCUUUUCUAUCAAUUGCUCGACAGUAAUUUGUUCACCCACCGUAAUACUUAUGCUAUUUCGAGAGAAGCCUCUAGUGAAACCUAUGGCCCCCGGGUCUAUCUCUUAUCAUAUUUGCUUUCAAUCUACUUUAUUUGCAUCUUUAUGUUUUGCAUCUAUAUUAUAAAAUACCAAAAAUAUAUUUAUCUUAUCUUACUAUCUCUAUCAGAUCUCACUUUUGCAAGUGGCCGUGAAGGGAUUGACAACCCCUUUAUUGCAUUGGUUGCGAGUUCUCAGUUUGUUUGUGUAGGUGCGUGGGACUUUUGAGGAGCCUCCUACUGGAUUGAUACCUUAGUUCUCAAAACUGAGGGAAAUACUUACACUACACUUGCUGCAUCACCCUCUCCUCUUCGGGGGAAACCAACGCUAGCUCAGGACGUAGCAAGAAGGAUUUCUGGCGCCAUUGCCGCGGAGGUCUUCGCUCAAGUCAAGACAUACCAAGUACCCAUCACAAACCCAUCUCCCUCGCAUUUACAUUAUUUUCCAUUUGCCUCUCGUUUUCCUCUCCCCCACUUCACCCUUGCCUUUUUAUUCGCCUUCUCUUUCCAAACCUCCUCCUCUCUUUUUCGCUUGCCGUUUUUCUGCUUGCUUGUGUGUUGGAUUACUUGUUGCCAUGGCGCAAGAUAAUACCAAAUUGUUUGAUUUCUCGAAUACCAAUAAAAAUGAUUUCCUUAAUAUUCCGAUUGCUCCUCUUAAUGAUGUUGAGUCUUGUGAAAUCAAUGUUGCUUUGCUGAAUCUUGUUAUGAAAGAUCAAUUCGCCGGCCUUCCUAGUGAAGAUGCCGCUACUCAUCUAAACAAUUUUGUUGAUUUGUGUGAUAUGCAAAAUAAGAAAGAUACGGAUAACAAUAUUGUCAAAUUGAAGUUAUUUCCGUUUUCACUAAGAGAUCGUGCUAAAGUUUGGUUUUCGACUUUGCCUAAAAAAGUAUUGAUUCUUGGAACAAGUGCAAAGAUGCUUUUAUCUCUAAGUAUUUUCCUCUCGCUAUGAUUAUCACUCUUAGGAACGAUAUUAUGAAUAUUAAACAACUUGAUCAUGAGCAUGUUGCCCAAUAUUGGGAAAGAAUGAAAUUGAUGCUUCGCAAUUGCCCUACUCAUGGUUUGAAUUUAUGGAUGAUCAUACAAAAAUUUUAUGCCGGUUUGAACUUUGCUUCUAGAAAUCUCUUAGAUUCGGCCGCGAGAGGCACCUUUAUGGAAAUCACGUUAGGAGAUGCUACAAAACUUCUUGAUAAUAUUAUGUCUAAUUAUUCUCAAUGGCACACCGAAAGAUCUUCUAGUAAAAAGUGCAUGCUAUAGAAGAAAUCAAUGUUUUGAGUGGAAAGAUGGAUGAACUUAUGAAGAUGUUUGCUACUAAAAAUAUUCCUCUUGAUCUUAAUGAUAUGCCUUUGUCUUCCUUGAUUGAUAAUAAUAAUGAAUCUAUGGAUGUGAAUUUUGUUGGUAGGAAUAGUUUUGGAAACAAUGCUUAUAGAUGAAAUUUUAAUGCUAGACCGUUCCCUAGUAAUUCCUCUAAUAAUUAUGGAAAUUCCUACAAUAAUUCUUCUGGUAAUUUUGAUAAGAUGCCCUCUGAUUUUGAGAAUAGUGUGAAAGAAUUUAUGAUUUAUCUAAAGAAUUUUAAUGCUUUGCUUGAAGAAAAAUUGCUCAAAGUUGAUGAUUUGGCUAGGAACGUUGAUAGACUUUCGCUUGAUGUUGAUUCUCUUAAACUUAGACCUUCUCCUCCUAAGCAUGAUAUCAAUGAGUCUCUCAAAGUAAUGAGAAUUUCCAUUGACGAGUGCAAGGAAAGAACCACUAGAUUGCGUGCUAAGAAAGAUAGCUUUAUAAAAGCGUGUUGUUCUAGUUUUCGUGAAAAUAAUGAUGAGGAUCUUAAAGUUAUUGAUGUGUCUCCUAUUAGAUCUAUGUUUUUCAAUAUGAAUUUUGAUGAUUUUGGGACUUAUGAUGAAUCAACUUUGCCUAGAAGGCGUCCCAAUAAUUCGGAGUCUUUAGAUCUUAAUACUAAAUUUGGUAAAAGUGAGAUUGGAGAAUCCUCAACUUCUAAUAAUGUUGAACCCACUAUCUCUGAUUUCAAGGAAUUUGACUAUGAUAAUUGCUCUUUAAAAAGUUUUAUUUCCUUGUUGCAAUCCGUUGUUAAUUCUCCUCAUGCUUAUUGUCAAAACAAAUCUUUUACCAAACAUACUGUUGAUGCCUUGAUGCAAUCUUAUGAUGAAAAACUUAAUUUGGAAGUUUCUAUACCUAGAAAACUUAAUGAUGAGUGGGAACCUACUAUAAAAAUUAGAAUCAAAGAUUAUGAGUGUUUUGCUUUGUGUGAAUUCUGUGCUGGUGUUUCCACGAUUCCGAAAAAUUUACGUGAUAUUCUAGGUUUCCAUGAUCUUGAAGACUGCUCUUUAAAUAUUCACCUUUCGGAUUCCACCAAUAAAAAGCCUAUGGGGAGGAUCAAUGAUGUUCUUAUUGCUGCAAAUAGAAAUGUGGUACCCGUAGAUUUUAUCGUUCUUGAUAUAGAUUGCAAUCUUUCUUGCCCUAUUAUUCUUGGUAGACCUUUCCUUAGAACGAUUGGUGCGAUUAUUGAUAUGAAGGAAGGGAACAUUAGAUUACAAUUUCCCUUAAAGAAAGGCAUGGAGCACUUUCCAAGAAAGAAAGUCAAAUUACCUUAUGAAUCUAUCAUGCGUGCUACUUAUGAAUUUAGUGCCAAAGAUGGCACUACUUAGAUCUAUCUUCGUUUUUAUGCCUAGCUAGGGGCGUUAAACGAUAGCGCUAGUUGGGAGGCAACCCAAUUUUUCUUUAUGUUCUUAGUUUUUGUUCCUGUUUAGUUUUAAAUUUUGUUUCUACUUUCUGUUUAGAUGUGUUUUCAUGUUUUAUUUAGUGUUUGUGCCAAGUAGAACCUAGAGGAUAUACUAUGAUGAUAGUUGAUUUGAUUCUGCUGAAAAAUAGAAACUUUGUGCUCACGAGAAAAAAAUUUAAUAAAUCACAUAAACAUGCUUUUGCAUUGAUUCGUUUUUCUGCUGAUCAAUAAACAAAUUUUCCAGUACUUCCUAUUUUCGUAGGAUUUUUAGAGUUCGAUAAGUUUGCGUUAGUUGCAGAUUGCUACAGACUGUUCUGUUUUUGACAGGUUCUGUUUUUCAUGUGUAGUUUGCUUAUUUCAAUGCAUCUAUGGCUAGUAAAUUAGUUCAUAAACCAUAAGGAAGUUGGAAUACAAUAGGUUUAACACCAAAAUAAAUAAAGAAUGAGUUAAUUGCAGUAACUUAUGUGGUUAUUUUGUUUUCUUUCACUAACGGAGCUUAUAAGAUUUCCUGUUGAAUUUUGUGUUGUGAAGUUUUCAAGUUUUGGGUAAAGCUUUUAUGGACUAUGGAAUAAAGGGUGGCAAGAGCCUAAGCUUGGGGAUGCCCAAGGCACCCCAAGAUAUUCAAUAAUAGCCAAAAGCCUAAGCUUGGGGAUGCCCCGGGAAGGCAUCCCCUCUUUGGUCUUGUUCAUUGGUAACUUUACUUGGAGCUAUAUUUUUAUUCGCCCCAUGAUAUGUGUUUUGCUUGGAGUGUUGUGUAUUAUAUUAGUCUUUGCUUUUUAGUUUGCCACAAUCAUCCUUGCUGUACACACCUUUUGGGAGAAGCCUAUUUUAUUAGAAUUUGCUAGAAUACUCUAUGUGCUUCACUUAUAUCUUUUGAGCUUGAUAGUUUUUGCUCUUGUGCUUCACUUAUAUCUUUUAGAGCACGGUGGUAUCUUAAUUUUGAAGAAAUUGCUAGUCUCUCAUGCUUCACUUAUAUUAUUUUGAGAGUCUUUUAUAACAGCAUGGUUUUUGCUAUGAUCAUAAAGUUGGUCCUAGAAUGAUGAGCAUCCAAGUUGGGUAUAAUAAAAACUAUCAUAGAAAGUGAAUUGGAUGCUAUGAACAAUUUGAUGCUUGAUAAUUGUUUUGAGAUAUGGAGGUAGUGAUAUUAAAGUCAUGCUAGUUGGGUGAUUAUGAAUUUAAAGAAUGCUUGUGUUGAAGUUAGCAAGUCCCGUAGCAUGCACGUAUGGUUAAAGUUGUGUAACAAAUUUGAAACAUGAAGUGUACCUGGCUUGUGCAUCCUUAUGAGUUGCGGUCAGGGAUGAGCGAUGGUCUUUUCCUACCAAUCUAUCCGCCUAGGAGCAUGCGCGUAGUACUUGGUUUUUGAUGACUUCUAAAUUUUUGCAAUAAGUAUAUGAGUUCUUUUGACUAAUGUUGAGUCCAUGGAUUAUACGCACUUUUACCUUUCCGCCAUUGCUAGCCUCUUCGGUGCCGUGCAUUGCCCUUUCUCACCUUGAGAGUUGGUGCAAACUUCGCCGGUGCAUCCAAGCCCCGUGAUACGAUACGCUCUAUCACACAUAAACCUCCUUAUAUCUUCCUCAAAACAUCUACCAUACCUACCUAUUACGGCAUUUCCAUAGCCAUUCCGAGAUAUAUUGCCAUGCAACUUUCCACCGUUCCUUUUAUCAUCAUCAUCAUGACAUACAUUACUUUUGUCAUAUUGCCAUUGCAUGAUCAUGUAGUUGACAUCGUAUUUGUGGCAAAACCACCAUGCAUUAUUUUUCAUACAUGUCACUCUUGAUUCAUUUCACCAUCCCGGUACACCGCCGGAGGCAUUCAUAUAGAGUCAUAUCUUGUUAUAAUUUCGAGUUGUAAUUCAUAUGUUGUAAUCAAUAGAAGUGUGAUGAUCAUCAUUUUUAGAGCAUUACCUAGAGAAAAAAAAGAAGAAAGGCCAAAAGAAAAAAAAGGCCCAAGAAAAAAAAGAAGAGAAAAAAAAAGAAAAAAAGAAAAAAAAGAAAAAUAAAUAAAUAAAAAUGGCAAUGCUACUAUCUCUUUUUCCACACUUGUGCUUCAAAGUAGCACCUUGUUCUUCAUGUAGUGAGUCUCAUAUAUUGUGCUUCAAAGUAGCACCAUGUUUUUCAUAUAGUGAGUCUCAUAAGUUGUCUUUUUCAUACUAGUGGGAAUUUUUCAUUAUAGAACUUGGCUUGUAUAUUCCUAUGAUGGGCUUCCUCAAAUGCCCUAGGUCUUCGUGAGCAAGCAAGUUGGAUGCACACCCGCUAGUUUUCUUUUGUUGAGCAUUUAUUUAUAGCUCUAGUGCAUCUGUUUCAUGGCAAUCCCUAGAUAAUCUCAUAACUAUGCGCUUUUCUAUCAAUUGCUCGACAGUAAUUUGUUCACCCACCGUAAUACUUAUGCUAUUUCGAGAGAAGCCUCUAGUGAAACCUAUGGCCCCCGGGUCUAUCUCUUAUCAUAUUUGCUUUCAAUCUACUUUAUUUGCAUCUUUACUUUUUGCAUCUAUAUUAUAAAAUACCAAAAAAAUAUUUAUCUUAUCUUACUAUCUCUAUCAGAUCUCAUUUCUGCAAGUGGCCAUGAAGGGAUUGACAAUCCCUUUAUUGCGUUGGUUGCGAGUUCUCAGUUUGUUUGUGUAGGUGCGUGGGACUUUUGAGGAUCCUCCUACUGGAUUGAUACCUUGGUUCUCAAAACUGAGGGGAAAUACUUACGCUACACUUGCUGCAUCACCCUCUCCUCUUCGGGGAAAACCAACGCUAGCUCAAGAUAUAGCACGCCCCCCCUGUCUCGUGGGCCCCCUGAUGCUCCACCGACCUCAACUCCAACUCCAUAUAUUCCGUCUCGCGGAGAAAAAAUGAGAGAGAAAUUUUCAUCGUGUUUUACGAUACGGAGCCGCCGCCAAGCCCUAAUCUCUCUCGGGAGGGCUGACCUGGAGUCCGUUCGGGGCUCCGAAGAGGGGGAUUCGUCGUCAUCGUCAUCAUCAACCAUCCUCCAUCACCAAUUUCAUGAUGCUCACCGCCAUGCGUGAGUAAUUCCAUCGUAGGCUUGCUAGGCGGUGAUGGGUUGGAUGAGAUUUACCAUGUAAUCAAGUUAGUUUUGUUAGGGUUUGGUCCCUAGUAUCCACUAUGUUCUGAGAUUGAUGUUGCCAUGACUUUGCUAUGCUUAGUGCUUGUCACUAGGGCCCGAGUGCCAUGAUUUCAGAUCUGAACCUAUUAUCUUUUCAUGAAUAUAUGUGAGUUCUUGAUCCUAUCUUGCAAGUCUAUAGUCACCUAUUAUGUGUUAUGAUCCGACAACCCUGAAGUGACAAUAAUCGGGAUACUUCUCAGUGAUGACCGUAGUUUGAGGAGUUCAUGUAUUCACUAUGUGUUAAUGCUUUGGUCCGGUACUCUAUUAGAAGGAGGCCUUAAUAUCCCUUAGUUUCCAUUAGGACCCUGCUGCCACGGGAGGGUAGGACAAAAGAUGUCAUGCAAGUUCUUUUCCAUAAGCACGUAUGACUAUAUUCGGAAUACAUGCCUACAUUACAUUGAUGAACUGGAGUUAGUUCUGUGUCACUCUAUGUUAUAACUAUUACAUGAUGAAUUGCAUCCGACAUAAUUAUCCAUCACUGAUCCAAUGCCUACGAGCUUUUCACAUAUUGUGAUUUUCUUAUUUACUUUACCGUUGCUACUGUUACAAGUACUACAAAACUGCUAUCGUUACUUGUGCCACUGUUACCAUUACUAUCAUACUACUUAGCCACUAAAUACUUUUCUGCAGAUACUAAGUUAUCCAGGUGUGGUUGAAUUGAUAACUCAACUGCUAAUACUUGAGAAUAUUCUUUGGCUCCCCUUGUGUCGAAUCAAUAAAUUUGGGUUGAAUACUCUACCCUCAAAAACUGUUGCAAUCCCCUAUACUUGUGGUUUAUCACUUCUCCUAAAGUGAUUUCCAUAAAAGUACCUGCCGCGGCUGAAUCUAAAAGAUUUCUAGAAGCAAAAUUCAAUCGGGCAUAAAAGUUUUGUAUGAUCAUCCACAAAUUCAAACCAUGUGUUGGGCAGUUACGUGUCAUUAAUUUCAUUCUCUCCCAAGAUUGUGCAACAUGCUCAUGAUCAAGUUGUUUAAAAUUCAUAAUAUCGUUUCUAAGAGAGAUGAUCUUAGCGGGAGGGAAAUACUUAGAGAUAAAAGUAUCUUUGCACUUAUUCCGUGAAUCAAUACUAUUUUUAUGCAAAGACGAAAACCAAGUUUUAGCACGAUCUCUAAGUGAAAACGGAAAUAACUUCAAUUUAACAUAUCAUUAUCCAUAUCUUUCUUCUUUUGCAUAUCACACAAAUCCACAAAGUUGUUUAGAUGAGUAGCGACAUCUUCACUAGGAAUGCCGGAGAAUUGAUCUUUCAUAACAAGAUUCAACAAAGCAGCAUUGAUUUACAAGAUUCAACAUCAUCAAGAGAAGCAAUCAGAGUGCUAAGGAAAUCAUUAUUAUUGGUAUCGGAAUAGUCACACAAUUUGGUAUUAUCUUGAGCCAUCGCGACAAGCAAUCCAACACACAAGCACACAAGAGACAAGUGAAAAAGAGGCAAACAGAAAAGAGAGGGCGAAUAAAACGGCAAAGGUGAAGUGGGGGAGAGGAAAACGAGAGGCAAAUGACAAAUAAUGUAAUGCGAGGGAGAUGAGUUUGUGAUGGGUACUUAGUAUGUCUUGACUUGAGCGAAGACCUCCCCGGCAACGGCGCCAGAAAUCCUUCUUGCUACCUCUUGAGCAUGCGUUGGUUUUUUACUUGAAGAGGAAAGGGUGAUGCAGCAAAGUAGCGUAAGUAUUUCCCUCAGUUUUGAGGACCAAGGUAUCAAUCUAGUAGGAGGCUCCUCAAAAGUCCCACACACCUACACAAACAAACAAGAACCUCGCAACCAACGCGGUAAAGGGGUUGUCAAUUCCUUCACGGUAACUUGCGAAAGUGAUAUCUGAUAGAGAUAAUAAGAUAAGAUAAAUAUUUUUGGUAUUUUUAUUAUAUAGAUUGGAAAAUAAAAGAUGCAAAUAAAAGUAGAUGGAAAACUUAUAUGAUAAAAGAUAGACCCGGGGGCAUAGGUUUCACUAGUGGCUUCUCUCAAGAUAGCAUAAGUAUUACGGUGGGUGAACAAAUUACUGUCGAGCAAUUUAUAGAAAAGUGCAUAGUUAUGAGAGUAUCUAGGCAUGAUCAUGUAUAUAGGCAUCACGUCCGCAACAAGUAGAUCGAAACGAUUCUGCAUCUAAUACUAUUACUCCACACAUCGCCCGACUCCUUCUUGCAUCUAGAGUAUUAAGUUCAUGAAGAACAGAGUAACGCAUUAAGCAAGAUGACAUGAUGUAGAGGGAUAAACUCAAUCAAUAUGAUAUAAACCCCGUCUUUUAUCCUUGAUGGCAACAAUACAAUACGUGCCUUGCUGCCCCCGCUGUCACUGGGAAAGGACACCCCAAGAUUGAGCCCAAAGCUAAGCACUUAUCCCAUUGCAAGAAAGAUCAAUCUAGUAGGCCAAACCAAACUGAUAAUUCGAAGAGACUUGCAAAGAUAACCAAUCAUACAUAAAAGAAUUCAGAGGAGAUUCAAAUAUUUCUCAUAGAUAAACUUGAUCAUAAACCCACAAUUCAUCGGAUCUCGACAAACACACCGCAAAAAGAGUUACAUCGAAUAGACCUCCAAGGAGAGGAAGGAGAACUUUGUAUUGAGAAUCAAAGAGAGAGAAGAAGCCAUCUAGCUAAUAACUAUGGACCCGAAGGUCUGUGGUAAACUACUCACAACUCAUUGGAGAGGCCUUGGAGAUGAUGUAGAGGCCCUCCAUGGUCGAUUCCCCCUCCGGUGGAGCGCCGAUGAAGGCUCCAAGAUGGGAUCUCGCGGAUACAGAAGGUUGCGGCGGUGGAAUUAGGUUUUCGUGGUGCUCCUGGAUGGUUUCGGGGUACGUAGAUAUAUAUAGGAGGAAGAAGUAGGUCGGUGGAUGCUCGAGGGGCCCACGAGGGUAGGGGGCACGCCCACCCCCUUAGGGCGCGUCGGGCACCCUCGUGGCCGCCUCGCUCGUUGCUUGACGUCCACUCCAAGUCUCCUGAUUUGGAUUUGUUCCAAAAAGAUCGCUCCCGAAGGUUUCAUCCCGUUUGGACUCCGUUUGAUAUUCCUUUUCUUCGAAACACUGAAAUAGGCAGAAAAAAAACAGCAAUUCGGGCUGGGCCUCCGGUUAAUAGGUUAGUCCCAAAAAUGAUAUAAAAGUGUAAAGUAAAGCCCGUAAACAUCCAAAAUUGGUAAUAUAAUAGCAUGGAACAAUCAAAAAUUAUAGAUACGUUGGAGACGUAUCAGUGAACAAAUUACUGUCGAGCAAUUAAUAGAAAAGUGCAUAAUUAUGAGAAUAUCUAGGCAUGAUCAUGUAUAUAGGAAUCACAUCCGCGACAAGUAGAUCAAAACGAUUCUGCUUCUACUACUAUUACUCCACACAUCGACCACUAUCCAGCAUGCAUCUAGAGUAUUAAGUUCAUAAGAACAGAGUAACGCAUUAAGAAAGAUGACAUGAUGUAGAGGGAUAAACUCAAGCAAUAUGAUAUAAACCCAUCUUUUUAUCCUCGAUGGCAACAAUACAAUACGUGCCUUGCUGCCCCUGCUAUCACUGGGAAAGGACACCGCAAGAUUGAACCCAAAACUAAGCAAUUCUCCCAUUGCAAGAAAGAUCAAUCUAGUAGGCCAAACCAAACUGAUAAUUCGAAGAGACUUGCAAAGAUAACAAAUCAUACAUAAAAGAAUUCAGAGGAGAUUCAAAUAUUGUUCAUAGAUAAUCUUGAUCAUAAACCCACAAUUCAUCGGAUCUCGACAAACACAGCGCAAAAAGUAUUACACCAGAUAGAUCUCCAAGAAGAUCGAGGAGAACUUUGUAUUGAGAUCCCAAGAGAGAGAAGAAGCCAUCUAGCUAAUAAUUAUGGACCCGAAUGUCUGAGGUAAACUACUCACACUUCAUCGGGGAGGCUGUGGUGUUAUGUAGAAGCCCUCCGUGAUCGAUUCCCCCUCCGGCGGAGCGCAGGAAAAGGCCCAAGAUGGGAUCUCAUGGGUACAGAAGGUUGCGGCGGUGGAAAUAGGGUUUCGUGGUGCUCUUGGAUGUUCUCAGGGUAUAUGAGUAUAUAUAGGCGAAAAAANNNNNNNNNNNNNNNNNNNNNNNNNNNNNNNNNNNNNNNNNNNNNNNNNNNNNNNNNNNNNNNNNNNNNNNNNNNNNNNNNNNNNNNNNNNNNNNNNNNNNNNNNNNNNNNNNNNNNNNNNNNNNNNNNNNNNNNNNNNNNNNNNNNNNNNNNNNNNNNNNNNNNNNNNNNNNNNNNNNCCCCCCCCCCGAGGCGUGCCCUCCUGCCUCGUGGCCGACUCGUUUCUUUCUUGACGUCCACUCCAAGUCUCCUGGAUUGCGUUUGUUCCGAAAAUAACUCUCCCGAAGGUUUCAUUCUGUUUGGACUCCGUUUGAUAUUCCUUUUCUGCGAAACACUGAAAUAGGCAAAAAACAACAAUUUGGACUGGGCCUCCGGUUAAUAAGUUAGUCCCAAAAAUAAUAUAAAAGUCUAUAAUAAAGCCCAUUAAACAUGGAAAGUAGGUAAUAUAAUAGCAUGGAACAAUCAAAAAUUAUAGAUACGUUGGAGACGUAUCAAGCGUCAUUCGGAACAGAUAGUCCGCCGGGACCCUUUCCGGAGAUUACUUUUAAAUCAUUGACCAUAGCAAGUACGUGAUCACCGAUACGCAUGGAGGGCUUCUUUCGGUGAUCUGCCUCGACUUUGAAAUGCUUGCCUUUCUUUCGACAUUGAUGGUUGGUCAUAUGGAAUCGACGAUGCCCCAGGGACACAUUCAUCCUGCAUUUGUCCAGGUAUAUACUUUCGGUGUCAUCUAAACAUUGCAUGCAUGCGUGGUAUCACUUAUUUGUCUGUCCUGAAAGGUCACUGAGAGCAUGCCGAUCAUUGAUGGUGACAAACAGCAACGCAUGCAGGUCAAAUUCCUCAUGUUUGUGGUCAUCCCACACACGUACACCAUUUUGAAUCCACAGGUGUAAAAGUUCUUCAACUAAUGGCCUUAGGUACACAUCAGUGUCAUUGCCGGGUUGCUUAGGGCCUUGGAUGAGAACUGGCAUCAUAAUGAACUCACGCUUCAUGCACAGCCAAGGAGGAAGGUGUUGUGAUUGUAGCUCUGCUCCCCAAAAGGAUUAAUGCCAUCCGCGCUUAAACCAAACCAUACGUUCCUUGCGUCACCUACAAAUUCCUCCCAGUACUUUCUCUCGAUUUUUCUCCACUGUGACCUGUCAGCGGGUGCUCUCAACUUCCUGUCUUUCUUACGGUCCUCUCUAUGCCAUCGCAUCAACUUGGCAUGCUCUUUGUUUUGAACAAGCGUUUCAACCCUGGUAUUAUAGGAGCAUACCACAUCAACUUUGCAGGAACCCUCUUCCUGGGGCGCUCGCCGUCAACAUCACCAGGGCCAUCUCGUCUGAUCUUAUACCGCAAUGCACCACAUACCGGGCAUGCGUUCAAAUCCUCAUACGCACCAUGGUACAGGAUGCAGUCAUUAGGGCAUGCAUGUAUCUUCUGCACCUCCAAUCCUAGAGGGCAUACAACCUUCUUUGCUGCAUACGUAUUGUCGGGCAAUUCGUUAUCCUUUGGAAGCUUCUUCUUCAAUAUUUUCAGUAGCUUCUCAAAUCCUUUGUCAGGCACACCAUUCUCUGCCUUCCACUGCAGAAAUUUCAGUACGGUACCGAGCUUUGUGUUGCCAUCUUCGCAAUUGGGGUACAAACUUUUUUUGUGAUCCUCUAACAUGCGAUCGAACUUCAGCUUCUCCUUUUGACUUUCGCAUUGUCUUCUUGCAUCAACAAUGACUCGGCGGAGAUCAUCAUCGGGCACAUCGGCUUGUUCCUCUUGAUCUUCAACAGCUUCCCCCGUUGCAGCAUCACUGUAUUCAGGUGGCACAUAGUUGUCAUCAUCCUCUUCUUCUUUGUUGUCUUCCAUCAUAACCCCUAUUUCUCUGUGCUUGGUCCAAACAUUAUAUUGUGGCAUGAAACCCUUACAAAGCAGGUGGGUGUGAAGGGUUUUCGAGUCAGAGUAAGACUUCGGAUUCCCACAUAUAGGGCAUGGACAACACAUAAAACCAUUCUGCUUGUUUGCCUCAGCCACUUCAAGAAAAUUAUGCACGCUCUUAAUGUACUCAAGGUGUGUCUGUCACCGUACAUCCAUUGCCGGUUCAUCAGCGUGCAUUAUAUAUAAUUAAGUGUGUCAAAAACCAUUACGGAACAUCAUGAAUAUAUAAUUAAGUGACCAAAUUAAUAGAAGUUCAUCAUCACAUUAAAACCAAAGUACAUACAUAGUUCUCAUUGAACAACAUAUAGCUCUCCAGAGCAUCUAAUUAAUCCAUUCAUUGAAACUAUGUAAAAUAUUCCAAUGCAAAAACAAAUGUAAUCAUAAUCGCAAUCAAGGUAGCAAUUGAUCAAACGGCAUAAUGAUACCAAGUCUCGGUAUGAAUGGCAUAUUUUCUAAUCUUUCUAAUCUUUAACCGUAUUGCAUCCAUCUUGGUCUUGUGAUCAUCGACGACAUCCGCAACAUGCAACUCCAAUAUCAUCUUCUCCUCCUCGAUUUUUUUAUUUUUUUCUUCAAGUAAUUGUUUUCUUCUUCAACUAAAUUUAACCUCUCGACAAUAGAGUCGAUUGGAGUUUCCGGUUCACAUACCUCCUAGAUAAAUAAAAUUUAUGUUACGUUGGUCGGCAUAAUUGUCAUAAACAACAAAUGAACCAAAUAGUUAUAAAAGAUAAUAUAUACCACAUCCGAAUCAUAGAUAGGAAGAGGGCCGACGGGGGCGGAUACAAAACCAUCGCACUAUAUAAUAAGAAGCAAUAAUAGAAGUAAGAAAAUUAUACAAGUAUCUAUCUAAACAUACAAGUAAGAAUUUUUUUUCCUUUCAGAAUGAAGAUAAGAACAAGAGGCUCAGCACGGUGGUGCCGGCGACGAGAUCGGCGCGGGCGAUCGACGGCGGUGAAGACGGGGACGGGACAUGACGGACCGCUGAACCUAGAAAAAUAUUGAGGAAAAUGGAGCUUGGAGGUCGAGCUUGGAGAGGAGAAAGCUUAAGUGGUGUGGCUCGGGCAUUCUAUCGAACAACUCAUGUGCAUAGUAGGUGAGGUAGAGCACCACAAAGCUCUCCCCUCGCCGGCCAGAAAAAAUAGAGCAGUGUGGAGUGCUCUGUUCGCCGGCGAGGGGGUAUAUAUAGGCAUCACAUUAGUCCGGGUUUGUGGCUGGAACUGGGACUAAAGGACACCCUUUGGUCCCGGUUCAAGCCACCAACCGAAACCAAUGGUGGUGGGUCAGAAGCGAGGCCCAUUGGUCCCGGUUCGUCCCAUGAACCGGGACCAAAGGGGCCAGACGAACCGGGACCAAUGCCCAGGCCUGGCAGGCCCCCUGGCCUCACAAACCGGGACCAAUGCCACCAUAGGUCCCGGUUCUGGGCUGAACCUGGACUAAUGGGCUGGCCCGGCCUGAACAAAGCCCUGUUUUCUACUAGUGGACAUGGACACCGCCUGGAAGUAGCACACCCUUGUACACAGAAUCGUAGCCCAUUUGGCCCAGUUUAUCUCUAAAAUGGCUUGUGACUGCAACUAUAUCUAUGUAGGCGUAACUCACCAGGCCAAUCAUUUGUUGAAUCCUAAGAAAUUUCUCAACUGCAUCAAUUGUGAUCCUUGUUUUCCGGUACUUGUAGGCUAGGGAUAUCCAUACAGCCAGGGGUGCCAACAAGAACCUCCAUAGUACUGCGCAGUAAGUCGACAAACAUGGAUGUAAAAUAGAUGAACUUGGAGGCAUAUGCUUAUGUACAAGAUUGUGACCAUGAUGAGUAAAAGCAUGUAAAUUCUGUUUUGAAAGUAAAAAAACAUAUAAUGUCACGUAGCGGGAAAAAACUUGGCGAUGGCAAUACCAUAUACUAUGGUUUCAACAACAAAACUCAAAUUUGCUCUGAAGUGGGGAUCUCUAGGGUACUGGGUCAUUUUUUUAAAAGAGAAUAUAUUAAUAUCGCGAAGAUACCAAUUACACCCAGACUCUGCACCUACAUGAUGUCGCAAAGACAUCCCAGAUGCACACAACCAAAGGAAAAAAAUAAAAGCAAAGGAAAAAAACAAAAGGCCCCGCCACAAUGAUUGGCUACUGGAAGACUCCUCCAGUAGCCGCAUACAAACCACCACCAAAUACAAUACCCAAACAACAUAAAAAGUCUUCAAAAGCAACGUCUUCAAGAAGGAAACAGUGCACAAGUGUCGUCGUUGCCCGAUCCAAGAUCUUAGGUUUUCACCCUGGAGAAGUUCGAGCUCUCAAACCAAAUCCUUGAGCAUGGUAAUUGCCAAUCAAAACCAAUGAAGGGUAGACCUUAGAUUUUCACCCUGAAAGUCCCACCUCUGCACUCGAGGAGAACCACCAAAAAUGAAUUCCUCUAGUGCUGCUGCUCUCACUUGACACUGCUACUCUUGAGAGUUAUCAAACAUCUACCUGACUCCAUCGCCUCGACGGUCCCGUCCGUCUAAAUGAUCCUCCAAUCUCAGCCACCAUGACCUUCUCCACAGAUGUCUACAUCAUAGAAAUCGAGAAGCCAACAUGUCCCAUGGUGUCAAGAAACAAUAGAGCUUCGGGUCACGCCCUCAUGGAACCUCGUAGGUUGAAAAUGGACGUGCAUGACCGAAUUCUAUUCAAUCAAAAUAUCUUGGGUAGGAUAUCCCACCGUAGUACCGAAACACGUCGAUGACCAGAUCAAGAAGGACCCAUCAUGCAGGAUGUCGCAAUGAUGCGAUUGGAGCACGAGGACCGCCAUCUUUAUUGUCACGGUAGCAGGCCCUCACGCUGCCACGAUCCACCCCGCCGCCGCCCGACCGCACCCAUGGGCCGAGCUCUACCAACCCACUGUGAUCCAGAUCCAGAUCCAGAUCAGGGGGAUUGGCAGCCCCUCCCGUCGCUAAAAGCCACCGGGCAACCAGGGCGCACCACCGGGUAGAGCACCCGAUCACACACGGAAAGGAGCAGCGCCGCCGCCGCCUUGCAGCACCACGCCAGCAGGAGCUGUGCCACAGCUAGGCAUGCAGGGGGACCGCGCCCAAGGGUGGCCCUGCCGCCGCCGGCACUACCGGUCUUUGCCCGGCAGAGAUCCUCGACGGGGGCGAGGGACAGGGGAGGGUGGAGAGUACUGGGUCAUGCACUCUACGAAGUGCACUUCACUCCAGAGAAAAGCACGAGCCCAAUUCAUGAUGUUUGCGCUAGAUACUUGCUCUUUGAAGUAUCUGCAGAUCAUACUUGGACGGUGUUUAGAUAGGGAAAAUUCCAUUUGGCACUUUUUUUUCCUCGUCUACGCAUAGCUUUGGUCUUAUACGACUUUGCUAGUUUGAUGAUUAUUGUUAUAGUUUGACUAUCGUGGUCUGAUCGCCUUGUUAUUUUUUCUCACCUAUGCAUAGCUUCGGUCUGAUAUGACUUUGCUAGUUACAGUUUUUUUUAUCUGUUGGUGGGCUGUGUGCAUCCUACAUCUUGAGUCAAUAAAAUCCACGCUUUGUCGAAAAAGAUAGGGCCAAUUCCAUUUGCAUAGUAACUCGAUUCCAUUUGCGCAAAACACCAAUGUUCGACUUUCUUUGAAUUUGACUCUAUGUUGUAUUUUGGACUAUUGUUUUGAAAUUCGACAUAAUCUGACAUGUGCCGGACAGGCUAGGCCUGAUCAGAUCGAAGAAAAAAAAACUAGAGCCAAGUGCAAUACACGAUUGAAUUGCACGGUGGUGUGCAAAGAAAAACAACGACCGGUUUUUUGGGGUUAAAUUAGGUUGUGAAAAUGAAUUUACUCUUUUGAAUAAUUAUGACAGAAGCCAAGUUGCUGGAGUGACAAACUUUGCGGUGUAAUUGCAAUGUUGAAAAUUAUUGCUAUUCCCUGGUUAACUGCUUCCAGGCUGCCACCUCUGCUGUAAUUCCCCAAGUUAAUUCUUCAAGAAAAUAGGCAGAGAAACUAAAUUUGGGAGAAAAUGGAACCGUGGGGUGAUCACCAGGUUGAAUCACGGAGGCAUAUAUUGACGUAUUUUCUUAACCUCUCUGAGGCAGAAUUCUUCUAGUUGGGAAAAUUGAAAUAUCCACGAAAGGAAGUAAACCCCUGCUACUGGCGCUACCCAGCUCAUAUGCUUCAACACCGUACUUAAGAGCAUCAACUCGCCAAUGGAAAGGAAGUAAUAUGUCUAGGAUAUUUUCACAUGAGAAAGGUGGGCACCCAUCAUCUCCUCCCUGGACAUGAUGAUCUGCCACAAAAGCAGCAACAAGGGAAAAGACAGUGCAGGCUUGCACGAGUGAAUGGGGGUGUUCGUGUGUCGGGUAGUUAAACUAGAUGUGUGAGUUCAACAAGUCGCUCAAGUAAUGGUGUAACAGUCACUGAAUUUAUGUAUGUCCAAUAGUAACAUGCCUUGUGUUGCUCAUGUUCUUUGAUACUAAAACCUGAAUGGUUUUCUUUCAUUUUACCAGACUGAACCAUGAAAAUAGUUGAGUCCUGAUUUGUGGGGGAAGACUUGUAUGAGAUCUCACAUUAGAUGAGAUCAAUGAGAUCAAACCCCAAAAUUUAUACUUUAACAUUUGGAAAAACUCUGAAAUUAUUUGACAACUUCCAUGUGGAGUAUGUCUACAACUCUGGAAAAACAAAUCGCCUCAAAACUCAAUGUACAUUUGGAGAUUCAAAAAGACAAAUUCGGAUGUGAAUAGUGGCAGUUUUGGUGAAUAGUACCUUAACACUAUUCAUGUUCAAUUUUGUCUUUUUCAAUUAUAUUAAUCUAGGUCAAAUUAGGAGCUAAAACCUUUUGAGGUUGAACAUCAACCAUUGAUGUAUGUCUACAAUUUUUUUCAAAUGUUUGAACAUGAAGAUCUUUUUAAAAAAACGAUUUCAUUGAUCUCACCUAAUGUAAGAUCUCACACAAGUCUCCACCCUGAUUUGUGAUGUUUCUUUGAAAUGAGACGAUGACAACUGUGUUAUUCAUGUCGUCCAAAAGAGAGAGAUGCCUUUCUAGACCCAGGAGCAACACCUUGGGGUUUGGCACAAAUUAAUAUUUCCAGUUAAAAUCACAUAUCUAUGCAGCUAACUUAGAGAAUCUUACAGAUGUGAAACAUAAGGGUGUGCAUAUUAGACAAGAUUGCAAAACGCAAAAGCAUGCCUGCAUAAAAAACAUUGAAAAUUUCUUAUCACCCACUGCACUAUUCAGCUUCUAUAUAUUUAAUUUAAAGAACUAUGAGGGUAUUCUCACAAAUAUUCAAUAGAAAUAUAGCAUGUUCAUUCAGCUAAUAAAUGGGAUACAUAAACAACCAAACUUUAUGGUUGGCGUGUCAAUACCAAAUUUUCGACAAAUCUUACAAAGAACAACAAUUAUAUCUUUGUUUCAUCUAGGAGAGCAUGCUAAUCAUUCAUGCCAAACAUAUACCUCACCGGAGCUAUGAUGAGCACAACAAUCCAAAGAAGAAAACGUCCUGAAGAAUUUGGAUAUCUUUGUGCACACAUCAUUACUUUCCGAGGACUCCCAUGAUAACUUCAGAAUCAUUCUUUUAAGCAUUGGUGCACAUCUAACUAUCAGUUUCAAAAAAUCGAACUCGUGAUCCUCUCCUUCGAAGCCGUUGAUCUCCACUUCUUCAAGAGCAGUCAAGGAGACAGUUUGGGACCUCCAGUGUGUGGGCUCACAUGGACAAUCUGAUUCGCAUCCUUCUUCCACCUAAAACAAAAAAUAAAUGUUUAUAUAUAACUACACAAUGUAUUGUUGAGAUAAGUAAUCGGAAAUGAGAAUUACCGUACCAAUCUCUGUAGGACGACCUUAAGCCUCCGCAUAGCGGUACGAAUUCGAUCCAUCCCAAGGAGAUGAAACACCAAUGCUCCAAAAGCAUGCCCAUAUGUUGUGAGACGUAGAUCCAAAACAGAGAAGGUAGCAACCAUGUGCUUCUCUACCUCGUGCGCAAAGUUGUCCGCGUCAUCAUGAACAACAGUUGAGCCCUGAAGAAAAAUAAAUAUUGGCAGGAUAUAUAUCAUUCACAAAGAUUACUUUACUCGGAGUUUGCUGUAAAUUGAGUAGGAGAGGGAGCGCACGGCGGAGGCACGAAUGUGCAGCGAAGGCAGCUGUCCUUGUCUCUCUGCCGUCUGCAGAGUCACCUGCUCCAGGUACCAAAGACCAAAAACAACAUGCACCCCAUAGUAGUAGCAGCAAUUCCACGAGACCUUCUCCACCAUUGGUGCCGAGACGGAGAUGAUGCAGAGCUUGGAGGUGGUGAAGGACACGGUCAACUGCUUAAGCGCAGGGGCAACAAUGCUGACACUGUGUGUAAAUCUGAGGUCUACAACAAGCUCCAGCAGCGACGGCGAGUGGACCCUUAGGGAGGUCUCGUUCAACACAAUGCCGUCGAGCUUAAGUGUGCGCAAGCGAGGGCAGCUGGAGAGCAAGGAGUCGAAGGCGUCAUUGCAGCAGGACAGGCACAGCGUCUCGAGCGCGGGGAACUCGACGCCGGCGGGCACGCGUAUGGCCGAGAACAUGUGCAACGCGAUGGACGUGGCGCGGCGGAAGCAAGGCAGAUCGACGACCGGGAAUGGGCCGAACAAGUACGGUGAGAGAUGGAAGAAGAGCUCCUCCGGCUCCAGCCUUGCGGCUGCGCGCAGCAGCGAGUUCACGCUGUCGGCGUCGACCUGCUCAGGUGGCUCCGGGACGUGGAUCUUGAGGAGGGAAACCGCGGGACAGACGCGGCCGAGCGCCGGUUCAAUGGAGCCCAACUCGGUGUCAUGGAGGACGAUCUGGCGAAGAUGGGCCCAGAGGCCGCGCCACCGGCGGGAGAGGACGCCGGUGCGCGCGGCGGCCGCGGCGCAUGGGAGGCGGGCGAGGACGAGGAGGAGCAGGUCGUCGGGGAGGGCGCUGAUGCGGUCCGGUGCGGCGCCGCGUGGAAGACCUAGCUGCUGAUGCCGCGAGGAGCGGAGGCGACUCCCCGAUCUCAACUCCAUAAAGUUUUUGUUUAAACGGACUCCAUGCGAACUUUGCAAAACGAAACGCUGUGGUGGCUCGUGGAUACAAUUUAGAUCCAGGCGACUAUUAAUUCCUCUCCUCGUCGUUGUAAUUCCUUUUUUUAUGUUUUUUCUUUAAAUAAAUGUCACAUCUAUUUUUCUAAACAAGGAACAAUCAAAGUCAUUCACUUACAUGAGCAUACACUCAUCCCUGUGAAUGUUUCAUCUCAUUAAACGCCAUCACCGGAAAGCAUGCAAUAAAUUCAGAAAAAUGUAAGCAUCUAUGUCAGGUCUUGGACUUGAACUUCAGUGGAAAGGAAAUAGCACUGUCCUCAUAGCCAUCUAACCACAAAUUGAUUUGCAAUCUCACAUAUGUUUGGACACAUUAAAACCAUAGUUUUAAAUAGCCGACUAUAACCUUUUCAGCAGGAUGUUGGUAAUGGUCUGAUGUGCAAAUUGGCCGCUAUGACUUCGGCUAUAUAUUAUUUAGAGGUCCGCCGCCGCUAUUUGGCAUAGCCCGCUAUUUAAAACACUGAUUGAAACGACACACUCUUCCGACUCUCUCCAGCCAUAGCGUUCACAGACAUCUGAUCCUCAAUACUAAGUAUUUUCAGUUGUUAGACUAGGUGAGAAUCGGACCUAGUCAGCCUUUGCUCACUAUUUAGAAUCACGCUCUAACGGACUCACUUACAGGCUGGUCAUAGUGGGGUAACUUAGGUGGUAUCAUAUACUUGGGAAUAACAAACAUGCUGAUGUGGCAGAGAAUUAAAGAAGAGAGAGGGGAUUAGAGUAACAUAGGUAGAUACUAUAUCAUGUUAAAUGCUAUGUUACUUUGUGUUAUGCAUGACAAUAUGAUCUUACAUGAUACUAAAAUAGUAUCAUACAUUAGUAUCAUAUGUAUGAUACUAGUACAUGAUACUCACCACUAUGAGCAGCCACAGAAACAUCUAGCAGCCUCCCUACGUGUGUGAAGCUGUCGAUCAUUUUUAGGUCAUACGCCUCCCACCCUUCGGGUGGCGGCUCUUUUCAUCAGCGGCCGUCUCGUGUGGCACGCGGUCGAUGCUGGAGCGAUGGAUCCCAGGGCGACCGCGAUGGUUUCAGACAACGCCUCUCUGAGUGACGACACAAGUCUGUUGGGUUGCACAGUGCGGCGGUGAACAUGAUCCCGUCUUCCACUAGCGGCUCUGAUGAAGACGCUGCAGCUGAGGAUGAGGUGAUGCGGCUGGAAGAGCUACAUUUACCUCAAACCCGCUAUUUGCUUUGUUUAGGAGGACAGUUAGGAAAAAUAUUGUUGCCUCAACUUUUCUCUUCUUGGUCACACCUUAAUUGCCUCACUCAGUUGACCCUGUCAUGCAACAAUUUUGAUGAACAAACCUUUUCCUAUCUGUUCGUGUUACGUGGUCUAUGCUUUCUUUGCGUACUUAGGCUUUUGAAGGGAAUUGGUUGGACUUUUACGCAGGUUUACUUCCAAAACUUAAGAAUCCAUACAGAUGGGGCGCAACACAGCUCAACCAAGUUGAAAUAGAGAAGGGCGCUAUGCAAAACCUCGUCAAGCUAUCAUUCAGAGACUGUCCCAAGCUAAGGUUUCUUCCUGAUGACAUCGCACACAAGGAAUGUUACAAUUUGCCAAAAAGGAUCUUGGGAAAGGAUUUUGUGGCCGUCGCUUUCCCAAAGUUAGUGUUUUCUGUUUCCUCUAUCGUGCAUAUAUUAUGUAUUAGCAGAAUACAUUAGCAAUUUGUAGCUAGCAAUGGCUGACGUGAAUUUGUUACAGGCUAGGCUUGCCUACUAAAGCUAAUUAACGUGAUUCGAUUCUCCGUGUUCAUGUGCAUUUCUUCACCUAGAUUAGAAAUAUGGAACUUCAUAGCCCAUAAUUGGUAGGAUCUGUCAUUGGCAGAAACAAGUAAACUGAUCAUGUACUUUACAUAUUCUGUAUAUUAAUACCUGUUUUGUUGUACUUAGGAUACAUAUAUGCUUUCCACCUCUCCCAGGGUUAAGUCCGCGUGGACUCGGAUCUGAGUCCUAUUACUUCUCUGUUAAUAUAACUUCUAGUUCAUCCUACACGCAUGCUCUUUGGUUUAAAGGCUGUCAAAGAAAACCGGCAUGUGCGCUUUUCAUACUUGUCCUAUUUGCUAGCAUCGACAAAGAUACAGACAGACUGACUGACUCAGUUUGUGAUCAUUAUCAUAUUCUGGGCUGCAAUGUCAAGCACAUUCUGCGAUCAUUUUGGACUGAGGUUUUGCAGUUGUUACAUCAGUUUCUCAACGAAAAUCUGGGCUGUUCUUGUUAGUUGUUACUACUGCUCUAUAUGAGCUGUUUCCUGCUUUGCAUCCAAGACAAGGAGAAAAGAAUGCGAGUCGGACACGAAGUAUCUACACCCGAGCUCAAAUGCAUUGUCAGCGCACAAUCCUGAAGGGGGGAGAACAUGAGAUGCUCUGCAACAAGGCAACCACAUGUGAUCCUCUUGUACAUUACGCUAGCUAGCUGGGUGAAAUGAGUAUUCUGCUCAUCAGUUACUGUUGCAUUUGUUAGACAAGCUUCAGCAUGCCUGCGCACGCCUGUACCUGAUGCGGCCUAUACUUCAGUAGUAGCUCUUCUUGGCCGAUGGCACUUGUGCUCUGUAUAAGCUGUAAUCACUCUUCUGCAGUACAAGUAUCUAUUCAUCAUUAAUCAGCAGGCAUGGGAAACUUUGUUAAUGAGAGCAUGUCCAUAUGCUUCUGGAAAUCCAAUCUGGAAUUCUGUUACUGUAAACUAAAGACUGCAUUCGAUGAAUUCACGAUGAAAUUUGGGAAAUGAGCUGUGUUUUCCUGUUAUCCUUUUUUUCUUUUUUUGGUCUUAUUUGUCACAUUGGAAUCGGAAUGUAUGUAAUUUAUCUAAUCAGUGAUGUUGAUUGAUUGUUCAUCCCAUAAUGCAAAGCUCUUUCUUUGUCCCAAAUAAUAUCUGCUUCUACCAAAAGAAAUAAUUGUAGUGUUUUUUCUUUCUCACCUCUCCCAUCACAAAAGGAAGACAAUCCUUCCAAGGACUGCUUCAAACAUCUAUUUUGAUCAGACACAUCCAAGAAUAAUAAAUAAACAAACAUUUGUAUUUUUGAAACUUAAUAUAAUUGAAAUUACUCUAUGUGUUCCACUAACGACAAAUACACAGCCAGGAAGGCAGUUUGUGGCAGGGGCUGCCAUUGCUAGUACUCCCUCUGUCCGAAGUGUCAACAAAAUGGAUAAAAAUACAUUAUAUCUACAACUAAAAUACUUCUAGAUACAUUCUUUUUUAUCCAUUUUGAUGACAAGUAUUUUCGAACGGAGGGAGUAGUAUACAGCAGUGGACAACAAGAGUAGCAGCUUCUGUUAAAAUAAAUCUGAGAUAACUGUCGAUCAUCCGAGGACCAAGCAAUCAUAAAAGCACGACACCGAGAUUUGUUAACGGGGUUCACCGAUAUGGCUACAUCCCCGGGGCCUGACUACGGGCGCUCCUCCCCGUGACACCGUCACAAUACCGCACACCAGCCACCCGGGCGCCGGCACAAGCCGCCGGCUCCCCCUUGCGCGCCUGUGCUAUUAUGUUGGCAUAGGUUACAUCGUGUGUCUAUCCUCGCUAUAUAUGAGAGGCCUAGGAUACAAGUGUCCUACUAGGACACGACUUCAUAUCCUAUGUAAACACAAUACAACUAUAAGUCCAACUGUAACCUACCUUGUACACUAUAUUCGACACAACUCUAACAAACUCCACCUUGGCAAAUAUUCUUCACCACCAUGAAUUCGUUAAUGCGUCAAACUUUCAUGUACAUUGGACUUGAGCUUAUCCCGUGAGUACCGCUGCUACUCUAAAGACUUCAUGUGACUCCACCUGCAACUUGUAGUCCCUUCUUUUCUUGACCACAGUCAACACUCGAGCGAAAUUAUGUUUCACAUUACUCUAGUUUGCGCUCCCAACUUCCAGAGUAUCAGUCCAACGCCAUCACACACUGAUCACAGACCUGCAUGAAAAUGAACAACUCACAUAUUGGGUGUCACACAGAAGAGUUACCUGAACUCAACAUCACCGCUCCUUUCUUGACUGCAUGUCUGAAACUUGAAGAAAUUUCACCAUUGCUUGUAGUCAUCCCAAGUCAAAUUCGCAGUUGUCUCACCACAUGUAUGACCACCAGAGCCCUGGCCCGUCUCCAUGUCCCGUGCGUACCGCACGCCUCGCCGCUAUUACCGCGUCGAGCCUCCGCUGUCCCGGUCGAGUCUCAAGGGUCGCGACCCACACCACUCAACCCACACUGCAGAGUACCACCGAUCAUCGCCAACCGGUGACGAGUUUCACGCUUCCAUCAGACCGCUGGGCUCCAGUCCAAACUACGCGUCCCUCGCUUUUCCCCUCCGCUGAAUAGGCUUCGAUUCUGUGGAUCCUUACACCGUAGCCCCUCAAUCCAGCUCCACCUUCAACAUGACUCCAUGGUAGAUGAUCAGUCCACCAUGCGCCCCGUCGACUUCAAGCUCUCAUGUGUGCACCGUCUUGAAUCAACCCCGCACCAUAGUCUUGUCGAAGCCACACAAGCCCUCGGGGCCUGCGCCACGUGUUUCCACGCCAGAAGUCGGUCACCAUCAGCAUCAUGCCUUGUGUCGUCGUCGCUGAUCCCACCACCGUCUUCUGUACCAACCGACUUGCGUCGAUCCUGUCAGACUGCCCAGUCCGACCCAGCCAAACUCGUUCGACUGUUUGACACGCUCAAGGCUCCCAAAUCGCCUUCCAAAAAAUUUCCAUCCAUCACCUGACAAUUUCAUCUUAGCUGACAUGACUUCCUGCAACGCCUUCAAGCAUCCUCAUUGUGCCAACAAAUCUUUCACCCUUGUCUGCCAGAACCCAAGGUUUUCAGUUCCAUGAACUUCUCCACCUCAAACCUGAUACCUGUUGGCGCCAUGGUUCUUUGUACGACUGACCCUGCGAAAAAUUAUCCGUGCUUUCUUCUCACACAAUGCCCAAGUACACGAGGUUGUAGUACUAGCAAAUUCCAACCAAAACUUAUUUGGCCUUCACGUGAUGGCUCGGCUCCUUGCACAAAACUCCGAUGCUAGCUUUGCUUUGCCUUGUCCUAAGCCUUCCGGAUGGAUUCGUAUCAUGUACUCCCUCUGUAAACUAAUAUAAAAGCGUUUAGAUCAUUACUUUAGUAUUCUAAACGCUCUUAUAUUAGUUUACGGAGGGAGUAUCAAUGGAUUUCAUCUUUCCGGCGAUUGAUGCCUGCCUAUCUCUGUGUCACGUGGAGACUCGGUCUCUCUUUUGGUCCAAACAACUCUCACGUCUCCUGUGUUGCACACUAUAUCAGCACUGGCCUACCCAAUCACGUCCAGGCAGCAUCACGCCUCCACCUCGCAGCUACAACCAGGCCUAGCCAAUCAAGCACGCACAAAACCAGCCAACGGGGCCAGCUUCGCACGUCCUAAGCAUGCCCACAAGCCGCUGCCCACAAGCCGCGCUGGCUUCGGCUCGCCCGCCUGCAGCCGUGCAGCUUCCAGCCUUCCACCUGGGCAGCGGCCCGCCUGCCCGAUCGAUCCGAUCGAUCGCCGAUCGCCGCACGUCUCAUACUGCCGCCAUCACACAAUUCCACUGAUCGCUGCAACUCGCCGAGAUCGCCACGUAAUUCUUUUGAUUCGCUUUCUCCGAUCACGUUGAGAACCACGCCCUUGCUGCAUCUCAGACUUGAUCUUCCUCUAAAUCAACAAUCCAUAACCUUCGAACAACCUAGCUCAUGAUACCAUUUGUUAGAAUAAAUCCGAGGCCACUGUCGAUCAUCCGAGGACCAAGUAAUCACAAAAGCACGAUACCGAGAUUUGUUAACGAGGUUCACCGAUAUGGCUACAUCCCCGGGGCCUGACUACGAGCGCUUCUCCUCGUGACACCGUCACAAUACCGCACACCGGCCACCCGGGCGCCGGCACAAGGCGCCGGCUCCCCCUUGCGCGCCUGUGCUAUUAUGUUAGCAUAGGUUAAAUCGUGUGUCUACCCUCACUAUAUAUGAGAGGCCUAGGAUACAAGUGUCCUACUAGGACACGACUCCAUAUCCUAUGUAAACACAAUACAACUACAAGUCCAACUGUAACCUACCUUGUACACUAUAUUCGACACAACUCUAACAGCUUCUGGACCAUAUCAGCAUUGCUGGAGCUGGAACAGAUGACUCUUCUGGCCCUUCAUGCAUCAUCCUGAUGUAAAGGCCGAGGGUCAUCCUCCUUUUCGAAAAAAAUAUGCCGGGUAACUGACAGUGUCAAUGGCAGCAAAGAGGAAAAGAAAGCAUCCAUGUCUUGGUGCACUUGGGGGUGCACCAUCCUGAAGGGAAGAAUAUGAGGGACUCUGCAACCAGUAAUGCCGAUUAUGCAGCUGGAAACUCACGCUGGAAUAAUGUUACUGCAAACUAAAACUGCAUUUCAGAAAAUUCGUGAUGGAAUUGGUGAGAGCAAUGUUUAAUGUGGUUUUACGAAUCUAUCAUGUGCAAAAGAAAAAAAAAAGGUAUGCAAACAUAGUGAAAAAUGCUUCUCGGUGACAAUCUUUAUCCGUAAAUAUUCUCAGUGAGAAAAAAAAUUAUGUUACUGCCUACAACAUACAGAUGUAUAUAAAUAUAUAUUAAAGUGUAGAUUUAUUCAUUUUUCUCUGUAUAUAAUCAUUUGUUGAAAUCUCUAGAAAGACUACUCCUUUAAAAACGAAGAAGUGAGUAUGUCCUAUGAGGUGAAGCCCUGCUCCCGAUGAUUCUGAACAGCGGACAUGGAGCACUGCCAAAGGUCAAGAACCCCAGUGGGAAGUGGCAAUUGGGAACUCAGCUGCUGCUAGCUGGUUUAGAUCUGACCUCCAUCGGGGCUUGCUUACCGGCGACGCGCUGCACACAGCGAGUAGUACAGUAGUAGAUUGGUUUACGAUGCAUCCAACAAGCGCGCAUCUUUUGCACAACACCCAUGCAUGCGCACCAAUGCCGGCCCCUCGUGGAUGCACGUGGUCGCCACCUUCAUCAACAAACGACGUCCCAGCAGGAAAAACAAAAGACGAUGUGGUCUCUUGCGGUCGCACGGCGAUCAACAUCAACGGCGAGAUCGGCCCCUUCUUCCCUACUCUAUGUAGGGUGCGCCAAGGCGAUCUCUUCUCCCUGUUUCUCUUUAAUAUGGUCGUGGACGCUUUGGCCUUCAUUCUGGAUAAGGCAAAAGCCGCUGGCCACAUCCGAGGGAUUACCCCCCACCUCUCUGGGGGCUCGGGGAUCUCCAUCCUCCAGUAUGCUGACGACACGAUCAUCAUGAUCGAAGGCUCGGAGAUGGACAUCGCCAACCUAAAGUCCUCCUUCUUUGCUUCCAACAGAUGUCGGGCCUCAAGAUCAACUUCGACAAGAGCGACGUUAUGGUGAUGGGAUAUUCCCCCUCUGAGUCUGUGGCCAUUGCCAAUAGACUUAAUUGCCGUCUGGGCUCUUUCCCCACUACCUACCUUGGGACGCCCAUUAGUGACUCGCGUCUCUCUGCCGCGGACCUGCAGCCCUCCGUGACCAAGCUCCAGUCCCGGUGCGAGCCCUGGCAGGGGAGGUGGCUUUCUAAGGCGGCCCGGACUAUUCUUAUCAACUCAUCCAUCUCCAGCCUCCUCUUGUUUCUUAUGAGUUUCUACAGCCUCCAUGAAUCUCUCCAUAAGGAGAUCGCCACAAUUCAGUCCCGAUUCUACUGGGCUGGCGAGCAUGGCAAGCAGAAGUAUCACAUGGUCAGCUGGCCUGACAUCUGCAAGCCCAGGGAGCAGGGUGGCUUGGGUAUCAUGUGCUCUAAACGGAUGAAUAUUGCCCUUCUAUCUCGGUGGCUGUGGCGCAUCGCGCAGGGUCAUGGUGGCCUCUGGCUGGACAUUAUCCGGAAUAAAUACCUGCGAGGUCAACCCCUAGCCUUCUGCCAGAAAUCGGGCGGAUCUCAGUUCUGGCAGUCUCUCGUCCAGUUUCUCCCGGUUCUCCGCAUUGGUACCUCCAUUUCGGUGGGGUCCGGCCUCUCGGCGCUAUUCUGGUUUGAUCGCUGGGCCGGCGACUCCUCAUUUGCGGCCCGCUUCCCCGCCCUCUUCUCUAUAUCCGUCGACCCUAUGAUCUCUGUUGAUAGGGCCCUUCUUGACUUAGGGCGCCUUGCUUUCCGUCGGCCCUUUGGGCCGGCGGAAUCCGCCGCCUGGCGUGAGUUUCUCGACUGCGUUGCUCUGCAUGAGCCGUUGGUGGAUGGGGAUCAGGACCUUGUGCGCUGGCGCUUGGAACCAUCGGGCCAGUUCUCAACCAAGUCACUCUACUUGGCCAUUGCCCCCUCCUCCGCCCCCCUUCCCCUAUCGAUGGUGUGGUCCGUCCGCGUCCCCCUCAAGAUUCGCAUCUUCAUGUGGCAGUGGAUUCGUGGACGGGUCCCGUCUGGUGUGGAGGUUUGCACGCGCAAUGGCCCGGGCACUGGUAUCUGCCCCCUCUGUGAUGUCCCGGAAGACUCCAACCACAUCUUCUUCGCUUGCGUCUCCGCCCAGUUUCUCUGGAGCUGCUUUCGCGAGAUUGUAGGUGGAAGUUGGUGCCACACCAAUUUCCCGGACUUAUUUGCUGAACUCCAGCUGUCCCCCACGUCCUCUCGCCACAUUAGGUGGCUGGAGGUUGGGGUUCUUGCCUGGACUCUUUGGACCGUUCACAAUAAGCUUGUGAUCCAGCGUACUCCUCUUCGUCGCGCUACUGACGCUCUCUACAGACUCUCGGGUUUCUUGCAGCUUUGGCGGCCGCUUAGCCGCCCCCCGGAUCGGGACGCCAUCUCAGCCUUCAUCGCCGACCUCUGCUCGAUGGCCGUCCGCCUAUCGCCGCCGCCCCCGCCGCCUCCGCCGGAGCCUGACUAGACUCCCUGCGCUUGGAGGGCUUUGUUUUUUCUCUUUCUUUUGGGCUUGUUGAGCUGUGCCCUCAGCAGAACCUAUGUACUUUGUUGUGAGACUCGGAUGGUGUGUGUGUGAACCUGCUUUGGUUGUAUGUCUUGUGGCGGUUUGCUUUAUUUAUAAAGCGGAGCGAAAGUCUUUUUGGGUAAAACAAAAGAUGACGCCAUGACAGUAAAUUUCUAUCCAUGUUUUCUUACGUCAAUUACAAAGCACACUGCCUAUCGAGUGCUCAAGGCCAGGUCGCGACCUACAUCUCAAACAUUAUUUAACACAUAUUCCAGUCACUUUAAAUAGGGUUGAAAUAAUGAAGUUUAAAAUGCAUACAAUAUUGAUCUCUGUUCUAAAGGCCAUGUACGUAGCAACGAAUUCAAUAUACAAAAAUCAAAUAAUGGAAUUUUACAUUUUAGUUUAAAUAUAUAUUUUUCAACAAAGGGUAAAUUUUAUUGACACAUAAUGAUGCAUCAAGAGAAUAUGAAACACAAUAAGUACACACCCGGCCUCUGCAUAGGUAGGAUGCACACAGCCAACAUCAACUCGCACAUAAACACACCGACAACCAGCAAAGUCAUAUUAGAUCAAAGCUAUGUGUAGGCGAGGAAAAAGAAAAAAAGCUCCAAAGUAACCAGAUAAACGAGCGGCAAACUGCAGUAAUGACCAUACCCGCACCAACCAUGUCAUAACACCACAAGGACGACGUGGUUCUUCAAUAGCAACGCCUUUAGGAAGGAAGCGACCAUCAAAGUUAGACUCUAGGUUUUCACUCUGAAGAAUCAAUCCGUGCAUAUCCGAGCAAUGCCUUCAAUAAGGUAACGACGUAAAAGAAACAUCGUCAUUGCCGGGUAUAACGAGCCCAGGCAUAGAUUUUGUUUGAAUAUAUAAGAAGCAUAUAAAUUAUCAAAUGGAAAUAAAAUGCAUGGACUUUGUUUGAAGCGAGAGGAUAGAUAGUACGGAGCAGAAGUGAAGAGAGACAUAGUAACCCACAUGGUCGUGCGUGGUACCAAAUUGCAAAAAAUAAAUACACAAGUGAUGUAUACAUUCAAAACUCAGACCAACAUUCAGCUCAACAUUACAUAAGAGAAGUCUACACUUCUCCACAGCUAGGGAGUACUUGGUACUAUUGGAGACAAAAGGACACUCACUUGUUACAUAUGUUUGAGCCAUAGGACUAAGGGCAAAUAUAGAAAAGGUUAAUAUUAAGGAGGAGAAAGAAACAAUAGUAACGUGUCCCAGACAUCCAGCAUUGUACCCACAAUGGUUGGCCGUACAAUCACGAUUCAUAAUGAAAAGGAACAUAUACCUAUUUACAUAACAAAUCCUAUGGUAGGCCAAAAUUGGGGGAAUUCGUGCCUACUUGGCAUUUCACGAGUAAUGAAAAUGCAAAAAAGAUACUAAAUCUCGUGGUAAACGGAAUUCUGAAUAGAAAUCUAACAAAGUUGUUGCCCGAAGACAAACUUCAAUAGGUCUUCUCGCCUCUCUUUGGGUACAAGCCAUCUUGUUGUGGAGCAUACAUUUUAUCCUCCAGGGCUUCUCCUUUCUUCAUCUUCUUCUGCUUUUUGGAGGCAAGCUUAUCUUCACUGGUGUCCUUUGGGUCCACCUCUGUUUCCACCGGUGGGGAAAAAAAUAUGCACUAUAAUUUGACAUGGAGGGGCAAAGUUCUAACCAUGCUAAUCGUGGCGUUUGCGUUUUGCAGCAAUGCGUCACAUUCAUAAUGUGACAUGGAGGAUACGCAAACGCUGGCAUAUUUGCAUUGUCGGUAUUAUAGUGUUUUCUUACAUAAUGUGACAUGCUAUAUAGUGUUUGGUCUCUUUUCAUUGUUCUAUAUGUCGGUAUUAUAUUAGUGCUCUACUUUUCCAUGUAUCACCAAAUCUAUAUUUUUUUCGAUAAUUAGUUGAGACGUACUAAUUAAUGUGCUUUGUAACAGAUGUAAGAAAACAUGGAUCGAAAUUUACCGUCAUGGCAUUCUUCUGUUAUCUUUUCUGCUCGACUGAAUGUAAUACUGGUAGUUUGUAGAUUGUGAAGAAGGUGACGACCGCUUGCAUCGAUUCAUGAGUGACAUGGUGCGCAUCUUGUGGGGCAUUGUUCAAAAGAUGCGCGCGUUGGAUGCAUCAUAAACUAAUCUACUAAACAGCUGUUUGCAGCGUGUCGCCAGUCACCAAGCCCUCAUCGAGGUCAGAUCUAAACCCAGCAAGCAGCAGCUGAGUUCCCACUAGGCCAUGUUCUGUUCAUUGGUGCCGACAUCACCCCACAGGCCAUGCAUAGGGCUUUUUUGAGUUGUUUACGCCCUUCUAGCUACCCUCGGGACAAGGAGAGAGCGCUCCAAGGAGUAGUAGGCCACAGUCAUGCAGGUUAUGGACAGAACUAAACUCGAAUUAAGGAGGUUAGUGCUACUUGCAUUUGCAUCUUGUAUGUAAAUUUUCUCACAUGGCUUAUGCUGUAUGCAAGCCCUUGCAUGCCGGUAUGGACGUUUGGUACCAAGCAGUACGUACAUAUGGACGAGUGGUGUAUGGGUAUCCGUUGAGAGCUAGCACGCCUUGGGCCUGACAACCCUCGUUUUCCGUGCGUUUAAAAAACACUUGUCAGUCCACUUGGGGCUCGUGAAAAAAGAGCUCAAAGCCUCAACGACUAUCGUGUGUAGUCUGUUGAAAGAGAAUCAUCUCAGAGCCUCAACAACCAUCAAUCAUCUCACACGAGAGAAAAAAAUCCCCAAGAACCAUGGCGGAGGCUGUUAUCGGGCAGCUGGUGGUGAAGCUCGGCGGGGCACUGGCGAAAGAGGCGGCAACCUACGGCGGGGCGCUGCUGUGCAAGGAAGCUGCGGCCUUGAGGGGUCUCUUCGGCAAGAUCCGACAGUCCAAGGUGGAGCUGGAGAGCAUGCAAGCCUACCUGCAGGAGGCAGAGCGGUUCAAGGACACCGACAAGACCACCGCCAUCUUCGUCAGCGAGAUCAGGCGCCUGGCCUUCCAUAUCGAGGACGUCGUCGAUGAGUUCACCUACAAGCUGGAGGACUGCAAGCAAGGAGGGUUUGCCGGCAAGAUGAAGAAGAGGCUCAAGCAUAUCAAGACCUGGCGGCGCCUGGCGGCCAAGCUCCAAGAAAUCGAAGCCCAGCUGCAGGAUGCCAACCGGAGGAAGAAGGAUUAUGCCGUCACCGGCAGAUCUGCUUCUGCUGCCGGAUCGACAAGAGAAGGUCAAGCUUUGCACUUCACCAGGGAUGAGGACCUUGUGGGGAUCGAAGAGAACAAGGAGAGGUUGAUACAGUGGAUGGACGGCUGUGGUGAUGGUCUGGAGCAGAGCAACAACAAAGUCGCCCUGGUGUGGGGAAUGCCUGGUGUUGGUAAAACCACUCUUGUUGAUCAUGUGUACAACACCGUGAAAGAGGAUUUCGAUGUUGCGGCGUGGAUAACUGUGUCAGAGAGUUACUGUACUAAGGAUCUACUGAAGAAGAUCGCCGCCCAGUUCAGCAUCACAGUCGACGUCGCCAACAUUGAGAUGAGAGGCCUAGCAAAGUCCAUCCACAACUACCUUCAAGGUAAAAGGUACAUUUUAGUCUUGGAUGAUGUUUGGGCUGAAGGCUUGUGGUCGGAGAUAAGGGAUGUCUUCCCAACAUCUAACUGCACCGGCCGAGUUGUUAUGACAUCAAGAAAGCAGACAGUGUUGGCAACUAGGGAGUUAGCAAUUCACUUGGAACCACUACAAGCACAUCACUCCUGGGUGUUGUUCUGCAAAUCGGCAUUUUGGAAUGCUUGUGACAAAAAGUGCCCGUUGGAGCUGCAGGAAUUGGCCCGGAAGUUCAUAGCAAAGUGUCAAGGCUUGCCUAUUGCUAUUGCAUGCAUUGGCCGCCUACUCUCCUGCAAACCCCAAAAUUCCACUGAAUGGGAGGAUGUGUACAGGUGUUUGGACUCGCAAUUUGCGAAAGAUGUGAUCCCUGACGCUCAUUUGAUCCUAAAGGUCAGCUUGGAGGACUUUCAGUAUGAUAUGAAGAAUUGUUUCCUACACUGUGCAUUGUCCCCAGAAGAUUAUGUAUUAAAGAGGAGAAGAACAGUGAGGAAAUGGAUUGCAGCAGGGUUUAUCACGAAUAAGGAAGAGAACAGAACAUUGGAGGAAGUAGCAGAGGGAUACCUGGUUGAGCUUGUGAACCGGAGUCUAUUACAGGUAGUGGAAAGGAAUUAUGCUGGACGACUUAAGGAAUGUCGGAUGCAUGAUGUCAUACACCUUCUUGCCCUCAACAAAGCCAAGGAGGAAUGCUUUGGUAAAGUUUAUGAUAGCUCUACUGCUACUGGGUCAUUAUCUAUUGAGGGCGCACGCCGCAUAUCUGUUCAGGGGGAAAACCAUGAACACCUGAGCCGAUCUGGUGCCACACAGCUCCGUGAGCUCCAAGUAUUUGAGAGGUCUAUCAACAUUGAUCAGUUGAAACCUAUCAUAACAUCUUCAAAUUUGCUGACGACGUUGGAUCUGCAAGGUACUUGUAUCAAAAUUCUGCCCAAUGAGGUAUUUGACUUGUUUAAUCUGCGUUAUUUGGGUCUUAGACAUACCGAGAUCGAAAGCCUGCCUAAAGCAGUGAGGAGGUUACGAAACUUGGAAGUCUUGUAUGCUGCGCAUUCUAAGCUGACGUACUUGCCAAAGAGUGUUGUAAAGCUUCAGAAGUUGAGGUACCUGUAUGCGUGCACUCCCACCACAUCAGAAACUGUAACUAUAGGCGGAGUCAAGGUGCCUAAUGGGAUGCAGCACUUGGCAGGAUUGCGGGCUCUUCAGACCAUGAAAGCCACUCCAGAGUUUCUGCGUGAAGUUGCAGCUCUGACAGAGCUAAGGACAUUCAGUGUCUGUGAUGUGAGAAGUGAACACUCUGCUGACAUGAGCAAUGCUAUCACCAAAAUGAGCCAUCUUGCCCAUCUCCAAAUUCGUGUUGCAGCUGAGGAUGAGGUGCUGCGGCUGGAAGGGCUAUAUUUACCUCCAACCCUUUAUGUGCUUGGUUUAGGAGGGCAGCUAGAAAAAACAACGAUGCCUCAACUUUUCUCUUCUUGGUCACACCUUAAUAACCUCACUCAGUUGUAUCUGGCAUUCUCUAACAUUGAUGAGAGAACCUUUUCCUGUCUGCACGUGUUAAGUGGCCUACGCUCUCUUAUGCUAAGAAAUGCUUUUGAAGGGAAGAGGUUGGAUUUUCACGCAGGGUCAUUUCCAGAACUUCGGCAUCUAGUCAUAUGGGGCGCGGCACAGCUCAACCAAGUUGGAAUAGAGGAGGGCGCGAUGCAAAACCUAGAUGAGCUACAGUUCGGAGACUGUCCCGAGCUAAAGUUUCUUCCUGAUGGCAUCGAACACCUCAGAAGAGCUGAUAGAGAAACUCCGGCAUAUGAGAGAUUCAGAUGAGUGCGGUGAAGAUUUAGUGAAGAUUGGCCACAUAAGGAAUGUUACAGUUGGACUGACGCAGAAAGGACUUUGGGAAAGGAUCAGAUGAUAUAUCAUCGCUGCUUCAAGAUUAGGGUUCACUUUUUCUUGUUACUACUGCUUUGAAUCGAAGACAGGCAAGAAAAUCAGCAGUGGGUCGUCUUCUUCGACAUUAUGCUGUGUGAAAUGAGUAUUCUGCUCAUCAGUUAGUGGUAUUAUUUCUUGUUUGUAGCUACUCUCUUGGUCAUUGUUACGCAAGCUUCAGUAUGCGCGCACCUGAUGCGACCGAUUCUUCAGGAGUGGUAGGGCUACUUCGCUGAUCCAUCUUUUCAGUUUUUCAGUCUGUGUACUGCCGUUGGCACUUGUAAUCUAUGUAAGUUGUAAUCAUUACUGAGCAAUAUACAAGUAUCUAUUUCUCAUUAUUCAGCAGGCAUAUGCUACAACUUUGUUCAUAAGAUCAUGUCCAGAUGCUGAUGAAAUUAGGGAGGUGUUGAAGGCAGUCCUCUGUUAUUGGAAAAAAAAUUGUCUGAUUUGUCGCGGCAGAAUCAGAAUGUAUUCAAGUGCAUGGCCAGGAAGGCAGUUUUGUUGCGUGUUGAUUGCUGGCUUCAAGGAGCUGCAUUCCAUCGCCAGAGACCAGCUUUGGUGAGGGGCUCCAUCGCCUCCCGGUGUAGUUGAUCUGGUCACUGUUGCCGAGUCCCGGUGAGGGAUGUCGCCACAUCGGUGGAGGCGGUGGGAAAAAUUUCUGGCUCUGAAUACCAAGUGUUAGCACGCGAAUAGUCUAGGUGGAAUUCAGAGAACUGUAUUUGGUUCUGAAUCACUCGAUUACAAGCACACUGGUGCUGAAUUGGAGAACAUGAAAGGGGAGAAAAGGUUGAGAGCCAGGUAGUUGGUAGCCGCUGUUGUUGCCAUGCCGUGAUCAAACUUCGAUGCCUGCACCUAUUGCGACGGACUCUUCGCUGAUCCUUCUUUUGAAUUUUCAGUCUGUGUACUGCCGUUGCCACUUCUAAUCUACUCCCUCCGUUCCUAAAUAUAAGACUUUGUAGAGAUAUAUAGAUGAAUUUUAGAGUCUAGAUUCACUCAUUUUGCUCCGUAUGUAGUCCAUAGUGGAAUCUCUUCAAAGACUUAUAUUUAGGAACAUAGGGAGUAUAUAUAUAAGCUGGAACCAUUGCUUUGAAAUAUUCAGCAGGCAUGCAUGCAUGGUGGAACUUUGUUCAUGACAGCAUGGCCAUAUUUCCGUAAAAAAAAAAGAGAGCAUGGCGAUAUGCUGCUUGAAACCUAAUCUGGAAUUAUGUUGGUGUAAACUAGAACUGUGUUCAAAUUUUCUUUUGUUCUUAUUUGUGACUGGAGUCGGAAUGUAUGCAAGUGGAGUAGCUUUCAGUGAUUUUGAUGGACUGUCCAUCCAUAAUGCAAAGUUCCUGACCUCUGUUUUUUAUAAGGAAAGGAACACACAGUUGUCCAAACAAAGAUUUGUUUUUCCAGCAAGGAAUACUUUCUCUUUUUCUCACCUUUCCCGUCAUGGGGUAAAUGCUUCCCAGGACUUGGCCUCAAGUGCUUCGAAGAGUGUUUUUUUUGUCGGUCGAAAUUUGCAUCUAAUAGUAAUACAGUAACAAAUAAAUAAGCAAUUGUAUAAUUUAAACUGAACUGAAAUUACUCUAUUUGUGUUCCUCUAAUGACAUGUGCAGAGCCAUGAAGGCAGAUUGUGACAGGGGCUGCCACUUGCCAGUAGUACACAUAGCAAAGCAUUUCUGGAAUCGGAACAGAAAACUCUUCUGCCCCGUCUACUGGGUAACUGACAGUAUCCACACAUUCUUCAGACAUGACCAACGUCAGUGUUACAGCAAUUUCCACACGCGCCCCUUGUCGCACGUACAAGUGGCAUUCAACAAGACUGGAUUGCACCAAGGUCUAUGCAGCCAGUACAGCACGGCAGGGGGUUCCAUUAAAUCAGAUCUGGAAUUUUCUUUUUCCUGCCUACAUCGAAGGCGACAUGUAAGGAAGAUCAGCUGUGGCCUGUGGCUCUGGUUAUCAAAUGCAAAUAUGUAAUUCCAUGACCGCGGCAAUUUCUUAGCGGCAAAGAGCAAAAAAAUGUAUCUAUGUCUUCGCGUACUUGAGGAGGGUGCACAAUCCUGAAGGGGAGAAUAUGAGGGACUCCGCAACAAUGUGAAUUAUGCAGCUGGAAACUCAACCAUCUAUCUGAAUGAUGUUGGUGUAAACUAAAACUGUGUUUCAAUAAUGGUUUUAUGGACCUAUCAUAUGCAAAAGAAAAAAAUGUAUGCAGGCUAGCUUCUCAGUGACAAUGUUCAUCCAUAAAAUGUAUGUUACUGCCAGCAGAAUAAAAUACAAAGUUUCUCUGAAAAUGUUUCUCAACAAGAAAAAGGCAUUAUUUUGUCACCUCUCACAAACGUAUUUGUAUCCAGAAUUUACUGUUCAAGCAAUAUUUUUCAUCAGAAUUUAUCAAGAUUAAUGAACAAACAAAUAAACUGAUGUAACAUUUCAAAUUUAUUUGUAGUUGCUCUGCACAGCAAGCAAGGCAGUUUGUACAAAGCAUUUAUACUGGGUUGGUACUGUUACAACCAUAACUUUACAGAUAAGUUACAUAUCACAGUAGCCAGUAGCUUCAGUCUUAGGGUAACAUAUCACACGACCACCAUAUUCAGCAUUGCUGGAGCUGGAACGCAAGAUUUUUCUGCCCCGUCUACAUUAGCCAAAGGCUCUCUAAACUGGUUAUGAAACAAAAACUGGAUUUGUUGUGCAAUAUAUUUACAUGCAUUUUCCGUGCCUCUUCUUGAAAGUAUGUAUAAGCUGUAAUCAGUACUUCGCAAUCUACAAGUAUCUAGUAGUCACUAUUCAGCAGCCAUGGUGAACUUCGUGGCCAUAUAUGCUGCUGGGAACUCAAUUUGGAAUUAUGCUGCUGUAAACUAAAGAGUGCAUUCGAUGAAAUACAUUUUGUCACAUCAUAAUCGGAAUGUAAGUUAGCUUCUCCCUGAUGUUGAUUGAAUGUUCAUCCAAUAAUGCAAAGUUCCUUUCUUGUCUGCAAACGUAUUUGCUUCUACAAAAGAAAAUAAUCGUGUUGUUUUCUCAUCUAUCCCAUCGCAGAAAAAGAAAGACAAUCCGUCCAAGGACUGGUUCAAACAUUUAUUUUGAUCGGAAUUUGCAUCUAGGAGUAAUAAUAAGUAAAUAGAUAAACAUUUCUAUAUUUCAAACAUGAAAUGAAGUUACUCUAUUUAUUCCUCUAGUGACAUGUGCACUGCAAGGAAGGCAGAUUAUUCUGACAGGGGCUACAACUUGCCAGUAGUACAAAGCAGUGGACAACAAGGGUAGCAGCGUCAGUCUCAGCUUCAGGACCAUAUCAGCAUUGAUGGAGUUGGAACACAAGACGUUUCUGCCCCAUCUACUGGGUAACAGACAGGGUCUACACAGUCUUCAGUCAUGCCCAACGUCAGUGUCACUGCAAUUUCCACACGGCUCCUCGUCGCACGCGCACAAUUGGCAUUCGACAGGACUGGGUUGCAUCAAGUCUAUGCAGCCACUACAACACGGCACAGGGUUCCAUUAAAUCAAAGUUGGACUUUUCUUUUUCCUGCCCACGAUCGAAGACGACAUGUAAGAAGAUCGAAGGCGACAUGUAAGAAGACAAAUUGGUAUCGAGAGCAAUGAACAAACAAAUAGAUUGAUGUAAGGUUUAAAACUUAUUUAAAGUCGUCCUACACAGCAAGCAAGGCAGUUUGUACAAAGCCUUUAUACUGGGUUGGCACUGUUUCAACCAUAACUUUUACUCCCUCCGUUCCAAAAUAUCAGAAUUUGUGUGAACAGUGUCAAACUUAAAGAGGUUUGACUAAGCCAAGCCUAGAACUUCAAAUAUGUUGGAACAUAGUCUGUUUCAGUCACAGCAUAUUAUAGGACCAUGUAUCAGAAUUGCUGGAGUUGGAACAAAAGUCUUUUGCUUACUCUUCUGCCCCAUGUGCUGGGUAACAAUAGUGCCCACACAUUCCAUCUCCAGGCAUGGCAAUGUCACUGUUGCUGGAAUUUCCACACGGCGCCCCUUGUUCCACGCACAAGUGGCAUUUGACAGGACUGGGUUGCAGCAACUGUAUGCAACCACGACAACACGGCAUAGGGUUCCAUUAAAUCAACCAGUAGAUCAGCAGUAUUUCCAUGACCGCGGCGAUUUUUUAGCUGCAAAGAAGAAAAACAACCAUACGUUCGCGUGCUUGGCGGUGCGCAGACCUGAAGGAGGGAAUAUGACAGGCUAUGCAACAAUUCAAAUAUGUGUGAAUUUCUGUUGCCUAGCUAGCUAGUUUCUUUGGCAUGCUCAACUUUGUUCAUGAGAGAUUGGUCAACCGCAGGAGAGAUGGUGCCGUAAACUAAAACUGUAUUUCAAUGAACAAGGUGAUGAAAUUGGGGGGCUGAGUUGUGCUUCUGUUAUCCAGCAAAAUAAAAACAAAAAAACUUGCCUUUUAUGCCCCACCGGAAUCAGAAUGUUUAUCAGCGACAAUACUCAUCCAUAAUGCAUGUUACUGACAGCAGAAUGAAACACAUUUUUUCUCUAAAAAUGUUUCCCAACAAGAAAAAGGCGGCCUUUUGUCACCUCUCGCAAACUUAUUUGUAUCAAGAAUUUACUAUUGAAGCAAUAUUUUCCAUCAGAACUUAUCAAGAGUAGUGCAUAAACAAAUAAACUUUUUUUCGCGAAUACGCAGAGGAUGCGUAUCUCUGCAUUGAUAGAAGGAGAGUUUUACAGCAUGAGGUUACAAGAGUUCACUAAGCCAUGUACACAAGAAGGCACGGAAGUGAACUAGGAGCAGAAGACGUGGGGAUGCUCAGCCCACAAACAAAUAAACUGAUGUAACAUUCCAAACUUAUUUGAAGUUGCUCCGCGCAGCAACCAAGGCAGUUUGUACAAAGCCUUUAUACUGGGUUGGUACUUUUACAACCGUAACUUUUACAGUGCAUCACUCCAUGAUAUAUACUUAUACAUGCAUAAGUUAUAGUACCACACAUUGUAUAUAUACCUCACACAUCGUCUUCCUCUGACACCACACUCAAUUCCUCCUCCGAGACCGCCGACAGCUCGGAAGUGAACUGGUAAGACUCCUCCACAUGGAUAUGCCCUUCAUCACAGAAAAAAGGCCUCGAAGGCAUCUGUAGGCCAUCAACCCCAGCCUCCAGGAUCUCAAUGACCUCGCUCAUCGUCGGUCGAUCACGAGAUCUCAUCUGAAUACACCACAAUCCGACAACGCAUAGCUUCUUCUCUAGCUCAUGCAUGUCAACAGCAACAUCAGAUAUCUCGCCCGCUUCUUCCUGAGUCAGCCGGUCGUACACCCAUGAAGGGUAGUACGCCUGGCUUGAGGACCCCAUGUUUGGAUCUGCAUUCCUUCUCCCACCGGCCAUCUCCAGCAGCAACAUCCCAAAGCUGUACACAUCAGACUUGCUGGAUAUGACGCCGAAGCUCCGGGAUAUCAUCUCAGGAGCUAUGUAGCCGACGGUUCCCCGCAUGGCGCUCAAAGGCACGAAACUGUCGCCCCUCGGGUACAGUUUGGCGAGUCCGAAAUCGGCGACCUUCGGGACGAAAUUGCUGUCGAGAAGGAUGUUGUGCGGCUUGAUAUCAAAGUGUAGAAUCUGCAUGUCGCACCCCUGGUGUAGGUAGUUGAUCCCCCUGGCAAUGCCUAGAGCGAUCUCGUUGAGCUUGUCCCAUGAGAAGCUCUUCUCGGUAGAGAAGAUGUACUUGUCCAGAGAACCAUU
RNAcentral lists this long non-coding RNA (49156 nucleotides) under Triticum aestivum (bread wheat). RNAcentral describes it as "long non-coding RNA (TAES_LNC028523)". The stretch from base 32355 to 32485 matches the Rfam family "MIR1120/MIR1122 microRNA precursor family". The record is from RNAcentral. Lineage: Eukaryota; Viridiplantae; Streptophyta; Magnoliopsida; Poales; Poaceae.